AAAUCAGAAGUGCUAUUUGCUUGUUCAUGGUGAUCACUCCAUCGCUUACAAAAUACCUUCUAAACAAUUUUCAAAAAUUUAAAAAUUUAUUGUAGGCCGAUUUGCAUAAAAAAUUUACUAAUUUUGAGCUUUUGUAAAAAUAGGCCGUCUUAAAAAUUUGGACCGAAUUUUUAACAGACUGAUCAAAAUAUCCUUAUUUUCUUUUCUCUCUUUUUUUUUUCUCUCGUUCUUUUUUUUCUUUCUCUCCGAAGAGGGUGGCAGAGGUGAAGGCGAAGGUGAAGGCGAAGGCCGACAGUCUCGCCCCUUGCCCUCGCCUACCCACCCUUCUUUCGCCUUCCUCAUCUCUGACCCUAUCGAGGCUGUAUCUCGAUCCUUCUUCUUUUUUUUUUUUUUUCUCUCUCCAACCUUUCUCCAUGCCUCCCUGGCUCUUUACAGCAGUAAAAAGGGCAGCGUCACAUCCUCUUUCUCUUUUUUUUUUUUUUCCUUCUAUUCUUUUUUCUCUUCAACCCCCUUCUAUCACCUUCGCGAUCCUUUACGACAAUAACAAGGACAGUGCCGCAUCCUCAUCCUCCGCCUUCAUCGAAGCAGAGCCAAGAAAAAAAUAUGUAGAAAAUAAAAAAAUAAAAAGAAUAAAGAAUAAAAUAUAAAAAAAUAAUUUUUUCUACAAGAAAAAAUGAAGAACCAGAGAGAAAAGAAGAAAACGAUGAAUUUGCACUAUUUUAGAAAAAUGUUGCACUAUUUUAUGGGAACGUUGCACUAUUUUUUAAAAAAAUUACACUCUUUAAGAAAAAAAAAAAUUUUGGAAGAAAAUUACACUCUUUGAAUGAAAGUUACACUCUUUGAAUAAAAAUUACAUUAUUUGACCAAAAAGAGAAGAAAAAGAAAGAAAAAUAGUAUAAUUUUUGCCCAAAUAGUAUAAUUUUCGUUCAAAGAGUGCAAUUUUUAUCUAAAAAGUAUAUUUUUUCUGUCAAAGAGUGUAAAUUUUCUCUAAAAUAGUGCAACGUUUUCUUAAAACAGUGCAACAUUCUCCUGAAACAGGACUACAUUCUUCUGAAAUAGUGCAAAUUCAUCAUCUUCUUCUUUUCUCUCUGGCUCUUCAUUUUUCUUGUAGAAAAAAUUAUUUUUCUUUAUAUUUUAUAUUUUAUAUUUUAUAAUUUUUUUUUUUCUCGGCUCCACUCUUAUCCGUACUUACUCCAAGUCCUCCUUUUCCGACACCGACGUCGGUGCCUACGCCGGCGAAGGCAUAGGAUGAGGACGCGGUGCUAUUCUCGUUACCGCCGUGAAGAAUCGCGGAGGCGGUAGAUGAGGGUCAAAUGUUACCGUCGUGGAGAAUCGCGAAGGUGGUAGAUGGGGGUCGAAGAGAAAAAAAAGAACGAGAGAAAAAAAGGAGAGAAAAAGGACGUGAUGCUGCCCUCUUUACUGUUGUAAAGAGCCAGGGAGGAGGUGGAGGAGGGUCAGAGAGAAAAAAAAAAAAAGAAGAGUUGAGGUACGGCUUCGGCAGGGUCGGAGGCGAGGAAGGCGGAGGAAGGGUGGGCAGGCGAGGGUGAGGGCGGGCAAGACAGAGGCGAGGCAGGCCACCUCUGCUUUUGCCGCUCUUUUCAGAGAGAAAGAAAGAAAAGAACAAGAGAAAAAAAAUGAGAGAAAAAAAAAUUAUUUUGGUCAAUUUUUUAAGAAAAGACGGAGAUUUUUUAUGCAAAUUAGCCUUUCUCUUUUUUGUAUGUUAAUAUAUAAAUUGAAAAAAAAUUAAUAGUUAAGUACUACUUAAAGAAAAAAGAAAAACAUAAACUCCAAAUACCACCCCUAUGGGCUAUGGCCCUAUGAUUUUGUCUUUUCUCACUUUAGUACUCUAUAACUUAAAGUGUAUCAAAUUAGUGUCCAACUUUUCUAUUAAUAUUUUAUUAAAUUUUAUACAAAAAACUUCUGAUAUCUCACCUAAAUUUAUUGAAUAUUCACUUUAGUAUCAUUUAGUUUUAACUUUGUUACUGAUUUAACGAAAAAAAUUAGUAGAAUCGGUAUUAAAAAGAUAAAAAUAAAAUUAUAGGACACUAAAUUCAUACACUUUAAAUCACAAAAUACUAAAGUGAGAAACUAUGAAACUAUAGGGGUAGUAUUUGAAGUUUAUCCUAUAAUAAAAUAAAAUAAAAUAACGUGGGAGAGGCGUGGUGAAAUAGUGAGUAGAGCUCCGCACACGAGCCGUUGAACAUUUCCCUCUCUCUCUCUCUCUCUCUCUCUCUUCCCUCUCUCUCUCUCUCACACGAUCUCCUCCUCCUCCAUUCCCCCUCUCCCCGAUCCCUUCGAAACCCCCAAAUCCCUAAUCCCCAAUCCCACCGACGACGACGAGGAGGAGGAGGAGGAGGGAGGAGCACGAAGACGAUGAUCGCUUGCUCAAUCCCCGUCCCGAUCUCUGCAAUUAGGGUUUGGUGAUCGCUUCCUCAAUCGACUUCGUCGUCGUCUUUGGAGGCGGGGAGGGAGAGGGAGAGGGGGAGGGGGGAGGGGGAGAGAGGGGGAGAGGAUGUCGAAUCAUUUGUACGGGGAGUUCAACCAGAGGAUCGACUACGUGUUCAAGGUGGUGCUGAUCGGGGACUCGGCGGUGGGGAAGUCGCAGCUCCUCGCCCGCUUCGCCCGCAACGAGUUCAGCCUCGACUCCAAGGCCACCAUCGGCGUCGAGUUCCAGACCCGCACCCUCCUCAUCGACCACAAGACCGUCAAGGCCCAGAUCUGGGACACCGCCGGCCAGGAAAGGUCCCAAAUCCCCCAUCAAUCCCCUCUUCAUCCUCUCUUCCCCAUUCUCUACUUCGAUUUCGAUUCUCUUCGUUUGAUGUUCUAUCUAUGAUGUAAAAGUUAGUAGUAGGACUUUGCAGUGUGUAGAUCUUCUUUUUUUUUGUAGACACGGCGAAGCAAUCGAUUAUUUCGAAGUUUGGAGUUUGGUGAAAGCACUGGAUUAUUUGGAAGAAAAUUUGAAUGUGUGCAACAAUGGAUCUGAUGAUAGUCGUAACGUUUGAUUAAACUCGGGAUCGUUGAAAAGUUUGGGGCUUGGUCACAAAAAAGAAAAAAGAGGAGAAUUUGGAAGAAAAAGAAAAAUUCUGUAGUGGUUUGAUAAUAAAGUAAAGUUAGCUAAAUAUCCCAGGAAACGAAAUUAGCAUAAUGGAAAAUUGCCAAUUUCUAUCAUAAAUUUAUGUAGGAAUUUAUCGCAUGGAUCUGGUUUAUAGAGAGGGUGCAGCAACGGAUCUGAUAGGUCGGUAACUCACUGCAGUUGGAACUGAUGGGUUCCUUUUGCCAAUCUGAUAUCUUACCAGCCAGUUAAUUUGUUCUAUUACAUCGGAUGAUUGUGUCUGAUUCUAUAGAAUGGUUAUAAAGAAGCCAUUCUUUGUAGUUCAAAGUGUUCGACAGCUAGUAACUGCAUAUGUGGAAUCAUAAUGUCAUCAAUGAAGAUGUUAAGAUGGAUUGAAAAGAUAAAUUAGGAAAUUAUUGUUGCCUAACAAAAGUCAGAUGCUGGACACAUAGGUAAACUAAGUUGCAGAAAAACUGAUUGAGGAGAAGAUUUUGAGAUUCUCCAUGGAGACGAGAGACUUACCAGUCGAAGUGAGUAAGUGACUUAUAUAAAUAGAAGAUGCCUUUAGAUGAUGGGAGGGGACAAAAUUGAUAUGGGUGGAAAUCACGAGGAUGGACAUGAUAGAACUUUGUUUGACAAAAAGGAUAUUUUCUUAAAUGGAGUUAAGAGAGGACUAUGGCCCACUUGACUGGCCAAAAUACUUGGGAGUGAGGCAAUUAUUAUAUGCUUAAAUAGUAAUUGUGAUAUCAGUUCUUGAAAUCUAAGUAAUAAUCAAUGGCUGCCUUUUUCAUUUUGCUAGUUAAGCUUGAUAUCCAAUUGAAAUCCAAUUGAAAUGUCGUUUUGGAUGAUUUGAGCUAGAAAUCGAUACCAUUUUAAGAUUUUGGAACAACUGUAUCCCAGUAUUCGUCAUUUAUUUCCCUCUGCUUUCUGUUCUGGCAUGGUUCAAAGGAUUUAUAUCAGGAUAUGUAUAGCAUAAUGAUCUUCUAUAACCAUAUCAGAGUUUCAUGAUGAAUCACGUGCUCUUUGAUUGUGCUCUUUUCUGUUAGUAGGGUAUUAAUGGAAGUUCUGCUUGGGUGGUUCUAAUGCCUUGUUGCUCUUAUGAAGAAUGCAGUUUUCUUUCUUUUCUUUUUUUUUUUUCUUUUUGAAAAAUGCUUCCAUAGCAACAUGCUUGUUGGAAUCUGUAUAGCAACAUGCAUACAAAUAGUUUCUUUGUGAUUUCAUGUCUUUUUCUUGAGGAAAGCUUCUAGACGAAUAGAACAUAUUAAUGCUCAUUAGCGAGCCUUUCAAAUUUGGUUCACAGCAGAGUAUCUGAUGGCAACAUGAUUUCCUUCUCCUUGAACGAUAUGUUGAUUUCUAUUUCAAGGGACUAACAACUUCUUUUGUUCUCAUGCUAAUGCAAUCCCAAGUGUGCCCCAUUUGACUUCAAGUCUAUUUUUUGUUUGAUUUUGGUUAGUCCCACAUUUUUAUUCAAUUUAUAUUCUUUGCUAGUUCCAGGCGGAGAUUUUAGUUUUAUCUUGGAAGAGAUGAGAUAGAUUCCCUUUCUGAAGAUUAAGAUAGGGUUAGAUAGGUUAGAUAUUAAAUCAAAUCCCUAAAUUUAGGUAUAUUUCUGGGGAUUAAAUUAGGUCCUUUGUUACGAAUAAAGCCCAUCAAGCUCCAUUGUAAUCAGAGAGAGAUUUUGGAUUAAUGGAGGAUAGGCUUCGUCCCAUCUCUUAUGCCUGUAUGGUUGUCGAAUAGGCUUAUGUAGCCACCUUGUUCUUCCUCUUCUUCUCCUUUUCCUGUCUUCUUCACUUAUUUUCUUCAUCCUCUCCUUUUCCUACAUACUACAGUAACUGCUAUUGUAGUACCCUGCUGCAGUUAUUGCUGCUAUAGUAACUGCACAAAUAGCCACAACACGUAAGAAUGAUACUCCCAAAUGGAGCCUAAGACAUCUGAUUGAAUGACCCACUGCCGACAAUAGACGUGGCAAAAGAUACCCGUGCCAGCAGGUACUUGCAAGUUAUUCAGAAAUUUGCGGGUAUGGUUAAAAACUUUUCUAACCCGAAAAUCUUCUGGUCAAACAGGCAAGUACUCGUAAAUUUUCGGGUUUGCUGGUUGGGUCAUGGGUACCUGCAGGUACCAACGAUCUUUCUAACUUGUAUUUGUAUUUUUCAAACCCACGGUCAGGGUAUUUGCUACCAAAAAAUAGCCAGUAAGUUUUACCUUUGCCCUUCGGACCUGUGAGCACCGUUGUCUGCCUGCAGGUCGCCCGAUCCGCCCAUUUGCCAGGUCUAGCUGACAUAUCCCUAGUUUCAAUAUUGCAGAUUUCACUAGUCGUCCAAUACGGUUGGGAUGUCAAUGCUAAUCUUUUUGAGAGUUGAUUACAUCUGCUUAUUCUCAGAACCUUUUGCAUUGCCAUGCUGUCCGCCUAACAAAAUUUUGUGACGGCAAUGUCAAUUAGGCGCAUGGAUGAAUACCAGUUUUUAUAAAGAGUGAGAAUUGAGAAUUGGGACGGCUGGCUUUUUCUUUUUCUUGUUUUAUAUAUGGAUAAUUUGCUGAUGAAAUUGAGAAUCCCAAUAAACUUUAACCUUCUUAUUAUAAACUCAAACAGUUCUCGCGUUAGUUUUGAAUGAUGUGAUGAUGAUGACGACGACGAUGGUUUAUGAUAGGUACCGAGCGGUGACAAGCGCGUACUACCGAGGCGCAGUGGGGGCGAUGCUCGUCUACGACAUGACCAAGCGCCAGUCGUUCGACCACGUGGCGCGGUGGCUCGAGGAGCUGCGGAGCCACGCAGACAAGAACAUCGUCAUCAUGCUCGUCGGCAACAAGUCCGACCUCGGCACCCUGCGCGCGGUCCCCACCGAGGACGCCAAAGAAUUCGCCCAGCGCGAGAACCUCUUCUUCAUGGAGACCUCCGCCCUCGAGGCAACCAACGUCGAGACCGCCUUUAUGACUGUUCUUACCGAGAUUUACCGGAUUAUCAGCAAAAAAGCCCUUAUAGCUAAUGACGAGCCCGAAUCGGGGGGGAAUUCGAGCUUACUUAAAGGGACCAAGAUCGCCGUCCCCGGUCAGGAGCCCGCCGGUGGAACCAAAUCUAUGUGUUGUACUUAGUAGGCGGCUUUUUCGUCCUCUGAUUGUUUACGCUCUCCCGAGCCCUCGUAGAUCACCCUCUUUUUGUUUCCUUUCCGAAAGGAAGAAAAACAAAAAAGAAAGAAGAAAAAGAAACCCAGCAUUUUCGUUUCUUCGACACCAUUUUCUGUAACUUAAUUCGAUUUCGAAACUGUAAGAACCAUGAAGCAGUGGUUGUUCUUUCUUGUUGUUAGUUCUAUCAUAUACAGACAUGAUGAAAAUUUUGCGCCGCCUUUCGACUUGCUUGUUCUCAUCUUCAGUUGCAUUCUUUUCGGCCUCUUUUUCGCCUGUUUUUCAUUUGCUUCAUACCUAAUAAUACUGUUUGGAGGUGUUAUCGGGUCGGGUUGAAUUAGGUUCGGGUAUUACCGAUACCGACACCUCAAUCCAUGAUGAUAAUAAAUAGAGAAGCUGUUCCAAAAGGCAGGUUACUGCAGUACUCGUGCAUUGGUAGAACUCUUUCUUAGAUUUUAAUUCUCAUUAUAUUUUUUUUUCUGAAUAAUUUAUUACGACUCAAUUAUAGCUGAUGCGUACGCUCAGAAAUUAUUUUAAUUUGGCCAUUAAGGUCUCAAAAUUUUAAUUUUACUACACAACCUUUCAAUUAGUUUGAUUUGAGUUGGUCAACGAUAUUUUGACUUCAAAUUUUAAGCAAAUUACUUAUUUUAAUAAAUUUAUAGCUACGGAAAUUGUAUAAAAUAUACUAACUAAAGUUGUAAAGAUAAACGACGCAUUCAAAUUUGAAAUCAAAGAUUCAUUAACUUACUCGAGUCGGACAAAUUGAAAUGUUGGAUAGUGAGAUAAAAAAUAGUCCGGAGUUGUUCAUUUAAAUUUUACAUGUUUUUAUCUUUUAUAUUUUUAUGACCUGCAAGUAACCGACUAUAGAAAAUUUUAAAAUAGACCUCUCAACAUUCCUUCUAUAACUUUGAUUAUUAUUAUUAUUUAAGUUAUUCUAAUUAGUAAAUCGAAAUUUUUGUCAAAUUUAAUAACGUUUUAGCUGUUAGUUAUUAAUUAUUCUAAUUUAUUGGCUACAAAAAGUGAUUAAAAAUUAUUGAUGAAUUUAUGGUUGCAUUAAUUAAGCUAUCAUAUGUUAGUUAUCCUAAUUUCAUUUACUAAAAAAAUAAUAAAAGUGUCUUGAUAAAAUUAGAAAUCAGUUUGACAAAAAAUUUUAAACUCUACUUAAAUUAAAUCGUUUAUUUAAAAAAAAAAACUAGAUAUUAAAAUAAUCGACCCAAACAAUAAAUAAUUAAUUAAUUUCGAUGGCUGUGUUUCAAAGUAACCAAUAGUUGAGGGGUCCCCAUGCAUUUUUCUAAAAAAAAUAAUAUAAUUAUAAUUAUAAUUAUUAUGCUCUCUAUCAUUUAUGUGUAUCUAUAAAUAUCUCUCUCUCUCUCUCUAGGAUUUCUAUUUCUCCCGCGACAACGACGACGACGACGACGACGACGACGAAGAGACUCGAAGAGGGAAAACCCUAAUUAGGGUUUGGAGCUGCUUCGAUCCCUGGAGUUAGGGCUCGAUUCUCGGAGUCGGGGGGGGGGAGCAAUUUCCCCCGAAACAAUUUCGCAUCGGAUUCGUAGAAUCUAGGAUGCGAAUGGAUCGAGAGGAGGUACCUGAUGCGGCGGCGGGGAAGGGCGGCGGCGGCGGCGGCGGCGGGGGGAAGCGCGGCGUGCAGAAGCUGUUCAAGGCGGCGUUCAAGCGCGGCGACGCGUCGGCGGCGCGCGUCACGGCGUGGGGCGGCGGGGACGAGUCGGAGUCAGCGCGGUCGGGCUCCAGCUCCGGCUCCGGCUCCGGCUCCGGGUCCAGCUCCAGCGGGGCGGCGCGGCGCCACCGCAGGGCGAGCCACGACGACGAUCGCUCCUCAGAGCGCCACAGCGGCGAGCUCGAGGGUACGUACCCAUGGCGCAUCCGCAUAGCAAUUCGCUUUAUGCGGGCCCUCGUCUCUUCGUCUCCGUAGAGUAGUGUUUCUCCUCCUCUUUUUUUUCUUUUUUCUUUUUUCUUUUUCCUUUUUCCCCCCUUUUUUUCGCUUAUAUUAUUUGCGUAAUUAAUUAUAAGAGGGCAUUAAGAUUAUUAUUAUUAUUAUUAUUAUUAUUAUUAUUAUUUAAAUUUUAGUACUAAUUUUUGACUUGAAGAUUUUAUAGUUUAAUUUAGCUUAAAAUUUUUAUUAAAUCUAAUGACUUAAUUAGCUAUUAGCAUUUAAUUAAUUCAGUUUAAUUCGCUAUAAAGUAGGUUCAUCUAUCAAAUUUGAUGAACAUGUCAAUCAAUUUGGUUAAUUUUUUUUAAUUUAUUAGGCUAAAAUCACUUUAUUCUAAAAAAAAUUAAAAGUUGAUUGAUAUAGCCCCCUUAAUUUUUUUUAAAUUUUUUUUUUAAGUCCGUACUUUUUUUAACUUUUAAUUUUUGGAAAUUGAAUGUUUUUAAUCAAACAAAUUGAAGUUUUUUUUUUUUUUUUUUCAAUUUUAUCAGUAAUUUAAUCUAUUUAGUAGUUUCGUUAUUUCCAACCAAUAAAAUUGGACCUGCUAAUACUAAUAGAAUCAUUAAAUUUAACAAAAAUUUCAAAUUCAACUAUAAAUUUCACCCUUUUUUUUGCAGAUAAACCCUUUACAAAUUUUGUUUUACACCAUUAAUCCUACCUGCAUGCAUGGUACAAAUUGAGGGUAAAUUGCAUUAAACUUACUUUAAUAAAACUUAUCUUAAUCAUAGACCAUUAAUUUUGAUUUUACUGUCCAAUCUUUUAAUUUGUUUGAUCUGAGUUAGUUAAUAAUACUUUAAUUUCAAAUUUUAAACUAAUUAUUUACUUUAAUGUACUUACAGUUGGAAAAAUUAUAUUUAAUAUACUAACUGAACCUGCAAAGAUAAAUAACAUAUUCAAAAUUUAAAAUUAAAGUGCCGAUGACCGUCUCAAAUCAAACAAAUUUUAAAAGAUUGGAUAACUAAAUCAAAAUAGUUCAUAAUUUAGGUAAAUUUUGUACAUUUUUACCUAUAUUUUAGACGUGCCAUGCAUACACAUAAGUCUCCGCCUAUGAACAGGACAUUUUAGUGACUUGGUCUAUAUAAAUAAAUACACAUAAUAGUUUCUGCAAAUAUGAAAUAAAGUAGGUGGUGUGUCUCUAUCCUGCUGUCUAUAAAAACUUAGUUAUUAUUCAUGUCCACACUUAUGAUCAAGUAUUUUGACCUAGUUUUGGAUUCACUUGCACAAAUAUUCUUCCAGAAGUAUUCUUCCAGACCUAGUUUAUCUUAAGGAUUAUAAUGUUCCCUGCUUUUUAUAUAUAUCUAUUGCAAGUAGUAGUUAAUGCAAUAAGGCUCAGAUAAUAAAGGCUAGGGAUGCUAUACUCUUAUGAGUAUGGACCCUUUUAUAUUCAUAAAUUUUCGACAGUUGGUUGAAGGGAUGUGUGGUUAGAAUGAUAGUGAUCCCCUAGGAUUGAGUAGGUGGUUGGUUAAUUAGAAUGAUCUAGUGGGUGAAAAUGAUAAAAGGGGUAGAUGUAAUGGCCGAAAACUUAUGAAUAUAAAGGGAUAUAUACUCAUAAGAGUAUAGUAGUUGGACUCCAGAUAAUAAUAUGUUUAUUGCUCAGUUGAUUUCUUUAUAUUUAAAAUUGCGUCGUGAAGAUAUGGUAAUUGCUGGCACAAAUGAUAUAAGCCUAUCAUCCAAAGUAAUCUCAAACUAGAACUUCUGAUCAAGAAUUUGAGUGCCGUGGCACGAAAUUGUACCGGAAACUUGCCGGUACGGUAAGAUAUGGUGUGUGCCAGAUUGUGCCGAUACGUGUCGAUCACAAAAAAUAUAUGUGUGCCGACACGUAAUGGCAUGAAAUAUUUAAUUUUUUUUAACAACAAAAUAUCCAAUUGUUUAUUAUAUAUUUUUAUCAAAUCUUUUGAACUUUAUUGAGAAAAUUAGUUACUAAUUUCAAGAAUACAGAGUUUUGAGUUAUGCCAUCGGCACAGGUCUGUAUUGUGCCAAUAUCUUGCUAGUACGAUAGAACAUGGUAAAUACGGCCCAUGCCAAUGUGCAUUUUAAUUCUUGCUUCUGAUAAUCUCAAAUUUUGAUUUUGUCUCUCUACCGAGGUAUAGUUUUUCGUUUGAUUAGAUUUUACCUCCCAUAAAAUAAUUCCUUAUAUUGUAUUAAAUUAAUCCUGCAUCAUACUCUGAUUUGCUCUUAAUUUAAUUAUUACUGCAUUUUUCUAGCAUCUUAUGUUUAUUCUACAAAAAAUACUAGCAAUUUGGCUCAUAAAGAAUGAUCUGCAUUUAAUUCAAAAACUAUUGAUGUACUUGCUCGUCACAAUUGCGAUGUAACCUAUUUUUAAUCUAAAAGAGUGUGUUCAAAACCAAUUAUAAUCCCUUAUAUAAAACCUUUCACAAUUAGAAAACAAUAGGUCGAAUGCGCAUCGGAAUCCCUAAUUCUCAGAUCCAAGGAAGUAUAAUUAACCUUUCAUUAAUUGUUAAUAACUGAUUACUUAGUCAACUACAAGUGCAUUAAACUAGUAGUUAAUUGUUCUAAUGACCAACUUAAACUAAUAGUGGGGUAAAAAGCUUUUAGAUGUUCUACAGUGUCAUCUCAUCUCAGUUUAAUCUAACAGUCACAAAUUUUGGUUUUGGAACACCCUUUUUCACCCCCUUUUACUUCUUGUGAAAAAGGUUCAAAUGGCUCAAAGCUGCUGCUCGCGCUGCGGAAUGCGAAGAUCCAGUAUGCGAACGAGCCGUAUCCUUGGGAGAGGAAGAUGCGGGAGCUUCUGCCUCUGCCGAGCUCGAGCAGCUUCCUCUCGCUGCUGCUCCUCCCGAAAGCUUCUGAUCCAUCCGCAUCGCACUACAACUCGCUGGAGGAUACGUUGGCACGGGCCGAUACAUGGCUCACGGCGUCGCAGGCAUCCGGCGUGCCCAUCAUGUUCAUGAAUGUUCAAACCGAGGCCCUGCUCACAAAGGUAAAUUAUUUGUUCUUCGAGCCCUCAUUCUAAUAUAGAGUUUGGAUCGGCGUUCAUCGAAAUGAGUAUCUAAACUUUGCCGAAUCUCACAUCGCACGAUAGUUCAGAUAAGAUUUGUAAGUUUGUAUCUACUUGUGAAUCAAUCAAAUGCUGAACUGAAGAGCCGUAGUUGCUUCUUGUUCUUUCUUGUUCAUAGAUCUCUGGAGAAACCGCGUCGUCGACGGUGAACAUGGGAUCGCCGGCAGAUAUGGCGAACAUGGCGAACGUGAGCCUCUACGGGUUCGAGGACUACCACGGGGUCGACAUCGGGGUGGUGCGGGCGGUACGGCUGUGGUACACGCCCGUCGCCGGCGAGACCGAGCUGGAGAUCACGCUGCAGCAGGGCGACACCAGGCUCGGCUUCGCCAUCAGCCGCACUGACGAGGUACGCCUUUACUGCCUUUCCGUGCAGAAAUUUCUGAAAAACUCUUGUGCAUGCCAACAUCUGUUAGAUGUUUAGGUCAUUGCAGGGUAAGACUCUACCAUUGAAUUUGAGUGUAAAUUUUUUCACUGAGCUCUAAUUUGUCACAAUUGAUGUACCAAAAUGCGACAUUUGUAAACAAAACAGUAGUCGUAAGAUGAUGUGACAGUUAAAUUAAUUUAUUAAUAAAUCAUCUGUCUCUUUCUAUCUCUCUUUCAGAAACACACAAAAAAAAAAAAAAAAAAUCAUACCCUAAAUAGAUUCACUUUUGAUAGAAGUAGAUUAAAUUUAUUAAAUCAGGUCAAUCCAGCUGGUGAAAACCAGGACGAUUAUUUCUGAUGUGCUGAUAAAUUUAUAUAAUAUUUUUAAUUCUAGUUUGGAAUUGUGUUUUAUUACUGAUGUGUUGAUAAAUUUAUAUAAUAUUUUCAAUUCUAAUUUAGAAUUGCAUUUUAAAAGCACCCGUUUCUAUACAUUGAGAAAGAUUUAAGAUAUCCAAAUCAACUAGGCCUUUUUCCUUUCUAAUUUUAUGAUUAUUUAUUAUUAUUGGAUAAAUUACAGAAAAUCUCCGGCAAAUAUCCGCAUUUUCACUUUUUCUCUUUGGCUUUCAAAAAUAUAUAUUUUGCCUCCUUAAAAUUUUAAAUUAUUGCAUUUACACCCACCCACCCCUCACCCGACGAUCUGUCCAUUUUUUAUAAUUUAUAUCGAAAAUGUCCUUCAAAAUAAUAUGAAUAUAUUAAACAAAAUUUUGUUUAUGGAAGAAGUAAGGAUAAUUUGAUCAUUUUGCUUUUUCCAUUAACACUGUAUUUUUUAUGAAAAUACUUCUGUAAUUUUAUAGGGGCAAAAUAUAAAAUUUUGAAAGAUAGGAAGUAAAAGUAAAAAAAAAAAGAGAUAUUUAUAGGAGAUUUUUUUGUAAUUUAGCUUUAUUAUUGUGAUAAUAAUUAAAUUAAACUAAACAAAAUGGGAGAUGAAUCCGUAUGCUAGGGUUUCAUCUACGUGUCGUCGGUGGCGGAGGAGGAGGCGGCGGCGGCGGCGAGCUCCGGGACGGCGGCGGCGCGGUCGGGGCUCCGGGAGCUUUUCCGGGAGGCGCGGGGCGCGUCGAAGCUGCUGGUGAUCUCGCGCGUGGGGGGCGCGAAGGUGCUUCCGUGGAUGGUCUCGACGUGCGGCGCCGUCAAGUGCUUCGACACCGUCUCCCUCAGCCAGAAGCUCUCCCUCCACCUCCACGCCCUCCUCCCCAUCCGCCUCCACUUCCUCCUCUGGGCCCCCCCGCCGCCGGAGCACCCUGUCAACCGGGAUGAGCUCGAGCUCUCCUCGGGUUGUGCGGCUCCUCUGGGCCCCCCCGCCGCCCCCGCCGCCUCCCUCCUCUCCGGAGGAGGAGAGGGGGUUAGGGUUAGGGUUAGGGUUAGGGUUGGGCUUGGAGCGGGACUCGGUGGGGGACGCGUCGUUCAGGUUCCAGAACAUCUCGCUCCCGGAUAGCUGGGUGUAGUAGAGAGAGAGGCUCGGCUUCUUUUUUACGAAUACACCCCUGGAAACACCAUCUAUUUGCGCAGGUACCCUUCCCACUUCAAAAAAGUCCCACCAGGUCAAAAAAAAAAAACGAAAAGAAAAUUAAUUUCAUACUGGUCCCUACAAAUAUAGUGAAUAAUAAAUUUAUUGCUGCAAAGUUUAACUUUUAUAUGUUGUUCUCAUAAAAGUUCUGGUAUUUUCAAAUAUAUCCCUACCGUUAGAAAAUUUAGUUAAUUAUAGAUUAAAUACUUAACCUUGGUUAGUUUUUAAUAUUUUUACCUCUCUUAUAUUAUAUGUUAUGAUUUUUGAAGGAACAUAUUUGUGAUGGCAAAAUUGAAAAUAUAAACGGUUAUCUAACCGUUCUCUAACAGUAACAAAUCAGAGUGAUAUAUUUGAAAAUAUUAAAAUUUUUAUAGGGACAACAUAAGAAAGUUGAACUUUUGUAGAGAUGUAUUUGUCAUUCACUAUGUUUGCAGAGACCUGUAUAAAAUUAAUCCAAAAAAAUAUACUGAGACACACUCAACUGUAGCAUAUUGUGAAAUAGGUCCCUCAAUCUCGGAUCAAAUUCAUAAACGGUUUUCAUGAAAUUUGAUGAUUUUAAUCUCUUUUUUAGCAAACAAAACUUAGAAGAAUCAGUAACUAGGUAGCUGCGAAAAAAAGAAAAAAUCGACUUUACUAACUAGAAAAAUGUCAAAUUUAAAAAAAAUAAAUAUAUAAACUUGAGGGAGCUAUUUUAGAAUAGCCUAUAGGUGAGGGGGGUCUCGGCCUCUUGGGGACUUUCCAUUUAUUAUGACCAAAUAAUUGAGGUGUUCAUGUAUACUCCUUGUUGGAAAAUAAAGUUAAACUUUAGUUUUGUACAAAGAAAAUAAAAAUGGGAAGUGAAAAUUUUUGGAUUUUGAAAGGGUAUACCUGUAAUUAUCUGAUGAAAAGUAUAGUAAGUCUAAGUCUACAGGGAUGUAUCUUUACAAUAAUAAUAAUUAUUGUUAUUAUUAUUAUUAUUAUUAUUAUUAUUAUUAUUAUUAUUAUCUGCAUAAAAAGCUGGAGAGUUGAUGGUUGAUGUGUGUGCAUGUGAAAAUCCUCAAUGUUGUGAAUUGGAAUGGUUACUUUUUUUGAAUAUAUCUAUACUUGUUAAAAUUUAGUCCCAGGUUUCCCAAACUUAGAACUUGUUGUUCCUCUGCUUUCCGAUGGACCGCCGCAUAAAUUAUAGAGAGGAUUCAUUCAUUCAACAAAGAGCAUGUUUGUUUGUUUUACUGGGAUCGGAUGUGGUCGGAACUUCACUAGUCGGGGCUGAUGCUCACAGACCGUAUGCUUUCAAAUCACUCUCUGCGUCUGAUCCGUAAGUUUGUUGGUCGGCCUCCUGCGAACGUCCGCACUCGCGGUUCGGCGGGGUGAGGGACUUCGGUGUCGGAGAUCUUGUCAUCAAGCACACGCACUCAGCCACCGCAGUACCAAACCAGGCCAAAGUAUCAAUCAAGCUUCAACCCGAAUCCAGUCCGAAAAACUUCUCGAAGCUUCUGCCGCAAGACACUCGUGGGCCGGCCCACCUGAGCCCAUCCCAAUAUAUGUAAAAAUAAUAAUAAGAAGAAAAAUAAAAACCCCAUUUCCGAGGCUUAGGGAUAUCAACGGUUGGAUUCAGCGCGGAAUUUCAAAAAUAUGAAUCCAAACCCUGAACCUAAAUCCGAAACAAGAACCUGAAUCCAUCCAAUCCUAAUAGAUUUUAAAAAUUCAUAUUCAAAUCCGAACCUGGCCAAAAAUUCAAAAUCCGAAUCCGAACUCAAAACAAUUAUUUCUCUUUACAAUAUUUCAAAAAAAUGCUAUAUUAAACCUAAAUUUUUUAAAUACAAAUUCAAAAAAAAAAAUAAAUAAAUAAAUAAAUAAAUAUAUAUAUAUAUAUAUAUAUGAGUUCCGCUACUAUAUUCUUAUAAGUAUAGGUCUUCGGAUUCGGAUCCUGAUAAUCUUUCAGGCAUCCGCAACCGCUGACAUCCCUAAUCGACGCGCCAAAACGCCCCCCCUCUCUCUCUCUCUCUCUCCUUCGCCAUUGUCAUCGUCGUGUUCCCAAAUGGUAAUCGCUCCCUCCUCUCUCUCUCUCUCAUGGGAAAGUAGGGUUUAUGUUCAUGUAGGUGGAUUACUAGUUUGCCUUGUGAAUCUAGCUCGAUGAGCGGCAUCGGAUUUUAUAGUUUCUAAUCUAGAAUUUCUUGUUCUCAGUGUCGGUUCUACACUUUCGAUUGAUUCAGAUCAUUAGGGUUUUUUUCCCCCUUUGUGUGUGUGUGUGUGUGUGUGUGUGUGUGUUAGCUCCACUUUUUUCUGAAUCCAGUCGUGAAGGGUUCCUUUAGAUGUGAGCUUCAGGGUCGGUUGAUGUUAAUUAGUGUUCUCAAAAUUGUUGGGAGGUGGACCACUUGUUGAUCUAAGUUCACACUAUAAUUGAUUUGUGUAGCAAAAAUAAUAAUAAUAAUAAUAAUGUAAUUGGGGCACUGAUUUGAAUGGAGCAAGGCAACUGGAGGCAUUCUUGUUGUUUAGUGUUUACAUAGUGCAAAUUAAUACGUUACGAUCGCUGUGUGUGUUGUGUUGGAUUCUCUUUGUUUGGGUUUUUAAUUUCAUGGAGUUAAUAACCCUACCUGUGAACAAAACAGAGCAACUUGAUUGAUUUUCUUUCUUUUUUUUUUUGGUUUGUGUUUACAUUCAAUGGCACAAGUGAUAUCUUUUGAUCAACACCACUAGUAUGGUUGUUUGAGCAGGAUGCAUUGUCACAGAACUACUUCACUACUGAAACACUCAUAGAAAGAAAUUUUAUUACGUACCGUAUUAUCUUAUUGGUCGAGGGCAACGAGCACCAAGCCAGUGUCUUGCUUACGUAGUUUUUUAACUUUUCAGAAGUGUAGAACUCUUGCAAGUAAUUCGGGCCAACUUCAUGUCUGUACGCCUAGUUUCUUUUCUUCCACGUGAUAUUCGUGUUAUUCAGUUGCAUUUUGAUGUUUACCUUGGCCAAUCUUGCAUAUUUUGCAAACUUGUAAACUCUUUAGUGUGGAAUUACGUACAAAGAUCUAAACAUGUUAUAUGAGAAAGAUUAGAUUGUAUGCACCAAGUUUAUUUUCUAAUGUUCUCUCAUCUUCAGUAUCAGUGUUUUUAUCAUUGAAAAAGUUGUUCAUAUUUCUUCUGAAGCAAAUAUAGGAAAUCACCCGUUAGCUGUUAUGAAGUUCAAUAACAUUUAUGUCUAGUCGUUUGGAAUUUUCCAUCUAAAGAACUUAAAUUAGUAUUCUUGAAGGUUUAACUGGUGUAUAUUUUUUGGUGCUUCAUGUUGCUAGCACCUGGCUAGCGGCCACCUUGAGGAUCUUUUAUCUCCGGUUUGUCACUUUGUUCUGUGUCCUCUGUGUUAUGUGGAACUGAUAACUCUACCUCUUUACAUAGUCGAAGAAAAGAGGGCUUUCAUUGGAGGAGAAACGUGAACAAAUGCUUCAAAUAUUUUAUGAGUCUCAGGACUUCUUUCUCGUGAGUUCUCCAGUUGAUUAUUUCUUAAUCUUAUUGCUUUGUUUACAUGUAGUAUUUUGCAUUCUUGGUUUUCCUACAACAGGUUAGCUAACCUAUGCUAUUCUAUGUCUAGUGGCACCACUUCAAAUGCAUGUGAUGCGCAUAUAGUUAGCUAUUUCUAUGACAAGAGAAAGCAUGUUAUAACCAUUAGAUUGAAGUUAAUACUAUUAAGAAGUUACAGGCAAUAUCUUGCUUAUCCAUGUUCUUCAUCAUAAAAAUGUUUGUGUAAUGAACUGAUUAUUUGCAAGUUGUCUUAAGUCACUGUGUUUCCCUAAAGACUAAUGUUGGCCAAUUUUACUAAACUAGCUCUUCAACUCCUUAUGGAAGCUAGUUGUCGUGAUUUUUUUCUUGCACAAUUGAGGUCCUUGGCUCUUUGAAGUUGCUGCAGCUGAUAUGAAAUUGAGAUAUCUUUCGCAAAGUUUAAAACGGUAGUAAACUAGAAAUAGGGAAAAUAUGCAUUUGGAAUAUAAUUGUCAUGAGUAGAGACAUCAAGAUUGAUAAAAUAAUUAUCCUUAGUGGUCAAGUACUUUCUUUCACUAUCUUCGAUUUAUUAUGUUCCAUGAUAUGAUUCCCUCAAAAAGUGGUCGUACGUUGGGCGCAAGUAUUUUUGUCAAUUGUUCAUUUUUAUAAUUGCAUAAUCUGGUCCUUUUUGUUGUUUAACAAGAAAGAUAAGUUGACUAGUACGCCAUGCAUAUAGUUAGAUUAGAACAGGUAACGGAGGAUUGCUCUUGUGAUUAUUGUGAUUGUCUUAUACCGUGAUUGUCUUAUACCUCGAAGGUGAGAGGGAAAUUUAUAAGACAAGGUUAAGACUAGUGAUGUUUUAUGGAUAAAAAAUUGAGCAACUAGGAAAACACUGUAUGCCAAAAAAGGUGUAAACUAAGAUGAGGAUGUUGCGUAAAUAUGUGGUGUCAAUACAAAAGUCAUAAAAGAAUGAUUCUAUCUAGAACACAAAUUAGGUUAAGUCCUUAAUGUAGAUAAGUUACAUAAAAUUAUGUGAAAUUGUGAACAGAGCUCAGAUGAUGCACAACAGAAUGAGAUGAGCUAAUUCAACUAUAAGGUGCUCAAAGAGGGCAGAAAGACCAAAUCAGCAUUAGAAGAAAUAGCUAGAAGACAUUACACAGUUGAUUUAACAUAGAAUCUUACCAAAAACUGAACUGGUUGGAGAAGUAGGAUUGAUUAUAGAAGACUUGUAACGCUUGGACUAGUAGUUGUUCUAUUUUUGUGCACCCCUGAAUACAAACUUAACUCUAAACACUUGCAGGUACAUAUAAAAGAAUAAAAUUAAUUUAUUCAAUUUUUUUAACCUUUAAUGCCAGAGGAAUAAUUUUCUUCUCGCAGAAAGGUACUUUUUAUGAUUGAUUUCUUAUCUAAAUUUUGGGUUGUCUCUACUCCAAUAGUUAUAUCAUAAUAUGUACUGGAUUAUUCAUAUGUUAUAUCACAUAUUUAAGAUAUUGCUUCUCCACAAACCGAAAAGAAAGAUAUUGUUUCUUUGUUCUGCUUUAAGUGCAAAUACAAACAUGCUUCUUUCUUCUUUAAUUCAGCUAAAAGAGUUGGAGAAACUGGGGCCCAAGAAAGGUGUGAUUAGCCAGUCUGUCAAGGAUGUUGUCCAGAGUUUAGUGGAUGAUGACCUUGUUUUGAAGGAUAAAAUAGGCACUUCUGUGAGUUUAGCUUUAUUUAUAUUGUGCUCAAUCUGCAUCUCUACUAUCUCUUUUGACAGCCUAUGAUCAAUGUUGCCACUCCUGUGAACAUUAGUUUAUGACAUAUUGUUUAAUUCUGAUUAUUUGACUAGUUUAUCCUUCUCUAUUGAACCAUCACAUGGAAGCUUUUCAAUUCAAAUUUCUUAAAUUACAAAAUAUAGUGUGUAUGAUCAUUCACUGGUACCCUUUUUUCUUUCAAUGUUCUUUUGUUUUAUCAUGUUGCAAAACUUACUAGCACUGACUUGCAGGUCUAUUUUUGGAGUCUUCCUAGUUGUGCUGGAAAUCAGGUAUUACUUUCAAUUUUUUAAAGUUUGAAUAUUGAUACCUCUUUUCCAGGUAUUACUUUCAAUUUUUUAAAGUUUGAAUAUUGAUACCUCUUUUCCAUUUUGAAGGUCUUAUUCAUCCUUUUGGAUUUUUUUUUUUGAAGUUGAGGAGCGCUCGCAACAAGCUGGAAUCUGAUCUUUCCAGCAGUAGGAAGAGAUUCAAGGAACUCAUUGAACAGAGGGACAACUUGAAGAAAGGCAGGGAGGAAUCUGUAAGUCUACCUGACAGACAUAUUAAGUUGCAAUUUUGAUUAAUUCUAUAGGGAAUUCGUAAGACUGUAGUCCUAAAUUUCUGUCCACAUAUUUUCGCAGGAUGAGAGAGUGGCUGCCUUGGAAGAGCUAAAGGCUGUUGAAUUACAACAUAAGAAGUUGAACGUAACUAGCUAUACAUACUCUAUCCUCCGACUUUGAAAGUACGAAAAUUUACUAGAGCUGAAAACAAUGUUACUUUAUAGGAAGAACUGGCCUGCUAUGCUGACAAUGACCCUGCCGCACUAGAAGCACUGAGUAAGAGAUCUGUUGUUUAUAUCUUGUAUUGCUUGUACAUCUUUCACUUGUUGCUGCUUGCAUCUGAAUAUGUAUUUUGUGCCUCACUUUUUGAUGUCCUUUAAUUUCUUCUUGGCGGAACCAAUUUAUGUAGCUCUCUAAAUCUAGGGUUUUCUUUUUUUAUUUUUGAUUGGCAGAAAAUGCAAUCGAGAUUGCCCAUUCGGCGGCUAACAGAUGGACAGGUUUCUUUCUUACUUGUUAACUCUUAUAUUGUGGACUUCUCUAUCUGCAUUCUUUAUUUUAUGUUAUAUGAGGCUGAAGCUUCUCACUUGGCAUUUCAGACAACGUUUUCACCCUACAGCAAUGGUGUUCAACCACCUUUCCGCAAGCUAAAGAGCAACUUGACAACAUGUACAAGGAGGUAGACAAUUCUUUCCUUUUCACCUUGCCCGCACUUAUAUAUAUAUAUAUAUAUAUAUAUAUAUAUAUAUAUAUAUAUGCUCUUUUCAAACCUGGGACAUGCACAUAGACAAAUCUACUGUUUUAAAGAAGUGAUAGAUUUUCUCUCUUUGCGCAAAUAUGUGGAUGGUUAAUUUUGUCUCAUCACAUUUCGGAGCGUUUAUUUCCGUCUUAAGAUUAUUAGAGUAAAUUGUGCUAUACUAAGUUAUUAAUUCUUGAUAUAAUUAGCGAGGCUGCUUUUCAUAUGAUCUUUUCUUCAGAUUCUAACAUCAACAGCAUACUCAAGUUUUACCUGAACUGUGUCCAUUAUAAUAUCUUGUACCCUGUUUCUUUUCAUUUAAUGCUUCGACUCUGCUUUUGUUUAGCAUAAGACAAGUCUCAAGGUACUCGUUAUCUGCAUGAUAAAGAAGAGAAUACAUAUCAAUCAGUAUCGAAACAGAUUAGUUAUUAGCAUGAUCUCAUGUUGUUCGUCUUUAGAACGUUGGCCUUCGUUCUCAAGAAGAUUCAGUUCUGCCGAUCUUAUGGACUAGAAACUCACUUUUUUUCUCUUUUGGAUAAACAAAAUAAGAAAUCCCAUCCCUUUAUUUUUAAUUCAAUGCGAAUCCCUUCAACAAUGCAGGCAGGCCUAACUGAAGAUUUUGAGUAUCUACAGUAAUGGAUGGUCUACAUAAACUCCACAGAGAAAGGCUUAGCUACUCAGAUAUGUGUCUUCCAGCUUCUCCUGUAAAUAAGCGGAUGUAUGCUUUGCUAUGCCCACUCUGCAUUGAAAAUCUAUUUUCCUUCACUUGUGAUUUGCAGUGAAAAUACCAUCUGCUGAGUUAGCCAUGUCAUUUCCUUUCCUUUCCUGUUUUGAAACUCUGCGGUAUCGAAGCACGCCUUUCGUUUAAAUCUUUGAGACUCAUGAUCUGGUAUAUUUGAACUCUCUGGAUUUUAAAUUUUAUAAUUUUUCGGCAACAUUUAGUUAGUAUUCAAGUGGUUCAAAAAUGAGCCAUUUUUAAUGGCUGAUAUGAGAUGAAUUUUUUACAACACUCAGAUCACCAGGCAAUUGAUGUCGCAAAAUCAUGAAAUUCGGUUUGUGCGAUGUAAAUCAUGUUUAAUGGAGCCGAUCGUGAAUUCGGAUGCUUCGUUUACAUAAGAUGGAUAGCAUGCUUUUGGGCUGUUGUUUGUGAUCAAAAUUCGGAAACAAAGCCCAAACUGGCCCAGGUUGGGGUAUUUCCACUCUUCCUAGUUCCUAAUCUCUCUAACAUAAACACUACACAAACAAGUCAUUUUAAUAUGCUUGCAUAUUUAAAAAUCACUAUCAAAUAUACUUGAAAAUAGAUCAUAAGACCACCCAAUGCACAUUGAAAUUUGGAUUUAAUUCACUUUAUUAUAAUUGUCAACGCUCCUGCGAAUAUAUAUAUAUAUAUAUAUAUAUAUAUAUAUAUAUAUAUAUAUAUAUAUAUAUAUAUAUAUAUAUAUUCNAUAUAUAUAUAUAUAUAUAUAUAUAUAUAUAUAUAUAUAUAUAUAUAUAUAUAUAUAUAUAUAUAUGCAUUCCUGAGUUGACUUGCUCAGAUUUCAUUAUACAAUUAAGCAUUAUGAAAUUAUGUAAGGUCAAUUAACAUGAUUUGGUCCUAAUAAACUCAAAUUUUUACGACAUUUUAAUCGGUUGCGUGGGGAUAACUACCAUUUGUGAUGGGGCUUGAAAUUUUUUUUUUUAAGCUUUAAAAAAGUCAACUGCAUCAUUAACUAAUUGGCUUUCCCUUAAUAAACUAGCGUAAAUUAUGGCGAAGGUAGUGGAUUUAAUUAACUAAUGCAAAUGUAUAUUGUUUUGAGGUAUAAAAGGUGUCCUUUUCAGCAUUAAGUAGGAGAUGUUCUCUUUUUUUAAAUACUUUUUUCUUAAAAAAAAGGGUAGUGUAGAGAUUGUUCUUUACACUAAACCAAGAUUUUGGAAAACUACACAUUAUUUAAUUAUAAUAUAUAACAUAAAAAUAUUUCAACAUGUAAAUAACUUAAAACACUAUUUUUUAUACUUUCAUAUCAAACAAACAGAGAUUCAGCAACUAAAGAAAGAUCGAUUCUUUCGGGAUCCUUCCUUUCUUCAAACAGAACGAACAAAUAUAAGAGUCACAUAUCAAUCCUUAUCGAUCUCUCACAUCUACGCACUCGAAACUUGUUGAUAGAUACAGAACCAAUAGAUGUUCUUGACCUAAGUGCGAGAAAAUUAAAACAAGGCUCAAAGUCUUAUGUGUGACAAACUCUAUAUUGUUUUGCUCUACAAUGUGAAUUAACUGUUUAUCCAUAAAAGUUUUUUUUUUUUGAGAGAUAGGUAGCACGCUACCCGCUUCAUUUAUUUCAUUUAGAAAUAAACUUAGCUAGAAAUGUGAAUCAACUAGGAUUCAAAUUUGGGACCUCAGGUAUCAAUCACCAAGCCCUGUGUAACUAGGAUUCGAACUUCGUUUAUCCAUAAAAGUUGAAGAUAAAGAAUAGGAUCUUUCUUAGAACAAGAGCACGCAAAAUUAUGACAUGUUUCAUAGAAAACUGCAAACAAACAUAAGAUGACAAGAAAAAAAAAAAAAAAAAAAAACUGAAUUAACCAAAACUACUGCAUUACUCUUCCAAGUUCCAACACAAAACAACACAAAAUGUCACCUCAACCAAUCAAUGAAUCUAGCUAAGGUCAGAAACAUCCCCCAAGCAAAAUGUUUGUCAUGGACUACUACCUGAAAUCAACUUCAGCUCCAAACCCUAAUAAACAAAUCUAGCACAUAUAUAGGAGGAAAAACAAAAACAAAAACAAAAACAAAAUCAAAAAAAGGGAAGAGGAAAAUUAAUUGUAAACAUCAUUAAUUCUUUCUCUCCUUCAAACUCCUAAUUAAAUUAGCCCUUUUUCUCUUCUUUUCUCUUGAAAUAGAAGGGACUUUAAUUAACUGCUAAAACCAUUUUAGCUUGACCACAACACCCUCCAUGUAAAAAGGUAGGUUAACUAACCCCAGGAGAAAGUAUACACCCUUCUAAUAUAUAACUACACAUUUACAUCUCUAAAAUGGAUGUGAUGUAGCUUAAUUGAUCUCUAAAUUAAAGACCCUCCUUCACUAAGUACUGUUUCAUGUAAUCUAGUAGAAGCAGUAUUUAAGUGAGGUCUCAAGCUAGGGUUUAGUUUCUACACCCCCUCCUGUUUCGGUCUGGCGGUCCACAGCGAGCUGAGGGCGCGGAGGCGGUGGAAGUACUCCGCAAUGGCUAAGAAGCAUCGCGCCGCUUGGUGGACUGUCAGGAUUUGGUGAAGCCUGUGGAGCGUCUGCAGCCUCAAACUGUCAGCCUGAAAAUUCAUAAAAAUCAAAUUAUUUGUCAAUUCUAAAAAUGAACGAAGCAGAUAGCUUGCUAUAUCUUUCUCUCUAGUUCAGAAAAAAGAAGAAGAAGAAGAAGAAGAGUAUUUCAUAAUUCAUAUGUACAAAUCAAAACUUUUGAUCACACUUAAAUAUCUUGUUAACUAAUUAUUGUACCUAUUUCAUAAUACUUUAUCAAAGAAAUAGUAUAUAUAUAGAAAUAGCAUAUAUUUAUAUACAUUUUUAAGCUUUGAUAGAGUGUGUAUAGUCAUAUAGAUAUAUCUAUAUGUUGAAUUUAAAUCUUUGAAAAAAAUAAAAAAAGGGAAAGGAAAAAAUGUUUCUAUGUACUAGUUAAUUAUUACAAUGAAUUAAACUAUACUUAGUAAAGAAGCUAUAUUAAUUACUAAAUAAAGUACUAUAGGAUACAUAUAUAUAUAUAUAUAGAGUUAGGCCCGAGUACUUGUAAAAAUCGACAGCCUUGUUACUUCCACGCCAUUCCCGUUGAUAGGGCAUGCGAUCGAAUUGACAAUCAACACCGUCAAACUUGAUCAUAUACGCUAUUUGAAUUUUUUUAGAUCCUAAAUUUCGCAAUUAAACAAUAUCAUUUGUCUAGUAUUCAAAACGGCCCUUAAAUUGACGACUUUUAAUGGCUAACAUAAAGUAAGUAUAUAUGUUUGAGACAUACCAUUUGAUCAGUAGAUAAAUAGUGUUAAAAAUUUACGAAAUUCGGCUUAUAGAAUGUGCAGAUAACUUAGAUCGUAGUUAACUGUACCAAUCGUUGAUUUGGAUGUCCCAUGACCGAAAAUUAAUGAUGCAAAAGCAAAUGGUCUAGUUUACUUCCAAAAGUACCCUAGCUUUAAUUGUACAUAUCUAUAGAUAGUGUGAAUAAGUAUACAAGGUGGAUGAAAUAUCACCCUCAAACUACAUGAGACUUAGAUGGAUAUGCUGCUCCAAAUAUGCAAUCCAUGAAUCUUCUAGAGUGAUGGGUAUAGAUUGAUAGAAGUGUUGCAACUAAGUUUGGCUUCUCCCCUUGACUUUGCUACUGCUAUGAGAAUCUGUUAUUUUCUUCUACCUACCUCUGCAGUUGAUUUGUCUCUCAACCAAAAACUUAGUAAUAAUGUUGAAGAUUGAAUAAUCGUCGCAUAUCAUGUAUUUUAAUGUUAUGGGAAUCGAUUAGUCUCACUAUUCAACCUAUUUGUUUUUCAGUUAGUUGACCUAAAAUCCACCUAAUGCAUUAGUUGAUUAGUUAAGUUUCUGAUCAAGAACUUAAUGAAGUGUUCAUUCAAAAAGUGCUUAUUCCAAUUAAUCUAGCAAAUGCAUGCACUAGAACUUUUGAAUGGUAUAAGUCAAAGAUCCUUGAUCAAUUGUAAAACUAAUAUUAUUGCAUGCAUGCAUCUAGUUUUCUGUACGUAUUAUUUGAUCAAUUUGCUAGGAUAAAUGCAACCUUUGUUGAUACUAGGAUUAAUUAGCUACAUGACUAUAUAUAUAUAUAUAUAUAUAUAUAUAUAUAGUCCGGCUAUGGUGCUUGUAAAAGUACCAAUUACUUAAUGCUUGCUUGAUGCCUGUAAAUUUUUUACCAUUAGAUCUUUGCCUUUGAUCAUUUUCACCCGUUAGAUUAUACUAUUCAACCAAUCACCCACUCAACCCUAGGAGGCUCAUAUCAUCCUAACCGCACAUUUCUNAUAUAUAUAUAUAUAUAUAUAUAUAUAAUUAGGCUAGAAUACUAAUUGUUAAUAGUAUUUGGCCCCUUUUGUUAUCAAGUUUUUAACCCUUGGAUCAAAAAUUGUAGGGUUAGGAUGAUAUUAGUCCCUUAGAGUUGAGUGGUCUCCCUUGAUUGAGUGGUCCCACUGAGCUAUAAUAUUUAAUCCAAUGGGUAGAAAUGAUUAAAAGAAAUAAUCUAAGGGUUAAAAAUUUGAUAACAAAAGGAGCAAAUACUAUUAGUAGUAUUCUAGUGCAACUCUCUCUCUCUCUCUCUCUCUCUCUCUCUCUCUAUAUAUAUAUAUAUAUAUAUAUAUAGAAUUGAGCUCCUAUGCUUUUAAAAGUACCAAGUUAUUGGUGCUUAUAGAUUUUUAGCCAUUGGAUUAAGAGAUAUACAGUUACGAUGAUGUGGGCCCCCUAGGGUUGAGUGGGUGGUUGGUUGAAUAGUAUAAUCUAAUGGUUGAAAAUGAUCCGAGGAAUAGAUCUAAUGGUAAAAAACUUACAAACACCAAGUGCUUGGUGCUUUUACAAGCACCAUAGUUGGACUAUAUAUAUAUAUAUAUAUAUAUAUACCCAUUUAUUUUCGAUAAUGGAGUCUCCAAAUCGACAAUCGGUACUAUUGAACAUGAUCUAUACCACUGAAGCAUCUAGAAACUAAAUUUUAAAUCUUUUCGACAUCAUUAGCCUAAUGUUCAAAUGGUCUCAAAAAUUAUAAUUUUAAUGGUCAGUAUGAGAUGUUUUCUCGUUUAACGGCGUAAAGAUAUCAAAAUCAAUUGAAUUUUGGUUAAAAUUUUUUUUAAACUAUUUAAAACAAGAUAUAUACUCUUGAUCUUAAUUACAAGAUUCCUAUCAUCACUUUUUAAAGGAUAUCCAUUUUUACUUGUUCAUUUUUGUGUCCACUUGAUGACAAGAGAACAAUAUUAGAAAAGUAUGAAUUUUUGUUUCUAUAUGCUUCAAGUGAUAUAGAUCAUGUUCAACGGUGCUGAUCGUUGAUUUGGAGGCUCCAUUAUCGAAAACAUAUAGAUGACCACAGAGCCCGUUUACUACUAAUAGCAUUCUGGUCAACUCUCUCUCUCUCUCUCUCUCUCUCUCUCUUUAUAUAUAGAUAUAUAUAUAUAUAUAUAUAUAUAGAGAGAGAGAGAGAGAGAGAGAGAGAAGAUAGAGAGAGAGAGAGAGAGAGCUAGGCUGGUAUACUAUCGGUAGCACGGAGGCCUCCGUGUUACCAAGUUGUUUUUAAUGUUGCGGCUUCCAAAUUAAUGAUCGGCUCCGUUAGACUUGAUCUACACUAUUAAAAUUAUUUGGAAACUAAAAUUUCAUAAUUUUUUGGCAUCAUUUACCUAUCAAACGAGUAGUCUAAAAAUAAAUGGCUGAAAAUAAAAAUCUUAUAAAAAAUGAUGAUAAAAGACUAAAAUUUAACAUCAGAGGUAUUGAUCUUACUCUAAAUAGUUAAAAGAAUUUUCUAUAAAAAUUUCAUCAGAUUUGGAGUGUUUUACACCGUUAAAUUUACAAACGCAUCACAUCUACCAUUAAAAUUAUCAAUUUUGAGACCAUUUGAUCACUAACCAAAAAAUAACGAAAAAUUAUGAAAUUUAAUUUUCAAAUACUUUUAAUAGUGUAGAUUAAGUCUAACGGGGCCGAUAGUCGAUUUGGAAGCCACAUCAUUGAAAACAACUGGUAGCACGGAGGCCUCCGUGCUACCAAUAGUAUAUCAGUCUAGCUCUAUAUAUAUAUAUAUAUAUAUAUAUAUAUAUAUAUAUGUGCGCGCGCGCGUAUUUGAAUGGUUGCUUACUAGGUAGAACAGCUACCAUAGCAAUAUGAUAAUUUAAUAAGUAAAACAACUACUUCAUGUCCUAUACUAGUAAUAAUUCUAUAAUAAAAACUACACUAGCUACAAAUCAAUAAAGUAAUUACUAAACUACAACCGACAACAAAGUGAUAUAGUUUCAUCCUUUCAUUUGUUGUACUAAUUAAUGUACCAAUUUUUCGACAUCUAGCAUUACAUGAUUGAGAUGAGAACAAAUUAAAUUUAAUAUGAAAUUAACUUUAUGAUAGGCACUAAAUGAUGUUGUUAAUGUACGUGUCAUAUGUCAUAGUGAGAUCAUAUAUAAUCCACAUGAUCAAAAUGUAGCUUAAUGCCACUAAUAUAUAUAAUUCAUGAUGUUAAACAUAAAAGUAUAUAUAAAAAAAUACUAUUCUCUAUCCGCUUAAGCUUUUGAAGAAUAACGAUUGUUUUGUCUAAUUUAAUUAACAUGGCAUCAUAGUUCGAGUCACGUAUAUCGAUCAGGCUCUUAGUAUUGUUAAUUUUCUCCUACUUAAUUUAAGUUCACGCCAUAAUCUAUCAGCUUAAGCUUUUAUAGAGAAUAACGGUUGUUUACUAUAAUUCAACACUUGACAGAGAGUGCACAAUCGUGUUGAGUUUUAAUCCUUACUUGUCGAACGAAGGCUUCGAGAGAUGCGAGCUUGUCCAAGGCGAGCGACAGAUGCGCGGUGUAGGUGGCCAUGUCGGGCGGAGAACUCAUUACUUCCGAGGAGAUGGUAUCGGAAAGCGAUUGGUGAACAGCUUCGAGACCUUGGUUCAGCGCGUCCUCCGACUCGUGCACGGAUUGUUGCAGGCUGUAAAUCCCCAGCAUCUGCGGCUCCGACAACGGCUCUAGGUAUUUUCGGACAACCUGAUCACAAAAAACCAACAAUCAGUCACAAUAAGAGCAAAAAAUUAGUAUUUAGUAUAUAUAUAUAUAUAUAUAUAUAUAUAUAUAUAUAUAUAUAUAUAUAUAUAUAUAUAUAUAUUACANAAAAUGAAUAAAUACUGUCCUUUAUUGUCAUCAAAGAGUCAAAUAUAUGUUUAGACAUUUUCUCUGUUACACACUCAAGUCCCGAGGAAUCAUAUAUAUAUAUAUAUAUAUAUAUAUAUAUAUAUAUAUAUAUAUAUAUAUAUAUAUAUAUAUAUAUAUAUAUAUAUAUAUAUAUAUAGUAUUGCAUAAACACAGAUACGAGAUACAGAUCAGACAAGCGUUAUAGAUACGUCUAUAUAGAAAAUCUCCUCUCGACGUUAUCAAAGAAGCAUAUCUUAGAAGGAUCAAAUCCUUGUCCACAUUUUUAAUUAUCCUUGCAAAUUUGUUUGAUAAAUUUUUUAAAAAAAGUAUAUAUAUUCAACAUGUAAUAUACAUAGACAUGUUUAGAGUAUUGAAGUAAUCAAUCGGGCAUCAUAGAUUAUAAUGUUGUAUAACAAAUAGAAAGAUCUACACAUAUAGUUAUGUAUCUUUAUAUAUACUUUUGUACGUAGAUAACAUGAGUUUAAAUUAAUGGCUACCUCUAAAAGUAGUUUAAACAUAAUUUUCAUUUUAUGUAAUAUAUAUAUAUAUAUAUAUAUAUACAUAUACAUCAAUGCAAAGCCCCAUAUAUAUUUUUCCUUUUUUCCUUUUCUCCUUUUUUUCUUCUUCCUCUUCAAUAUAUACUUCUUAUUUACACCAUCUCAUCCACCUCCAUACCCCCCAAUCUAUGUACUACCUCUACCAAAAGGUUAUUACCCCCCCAACACCAGAACCUAAGUUUAUAAGAUAUUUUUCAACUCAACCGAGGAUAAACCUUAUCCUUAAUAUCUUAGUUUGAUUGGAGUCUAUACUUCAUACCCUACUCGAAACGUAUGCAUGGACUAGAGAGAGAGAGAGAGAGAGAGUGAAAAAGAAAAAAAAAAACUAAAAAGUAUAACUGAUCUGGUUGUUAUAUAUCAAAGUAUAUAUACUGAAGAAAAGAAAGACUUACGCUGUGAAAUAAAUUAAUUUUCUUCUUGUAUAUAAAUACUACACUUUAUUGACAAGCAGAAAUUUUCAAUUCAGCCCUAUAAUAUUGAGGUUAUAGUAUACUUUAUUGAUGAACAGUGGUUUAAGUUGUAUAUUGUUUAUAUAUAUAUAUAUAUAUAUAUAUAUCUCUCUCUCUCUCUCUCUCUCUCUCUCUCUUACUCUUAAGUUGAUUCUAUGAUUUCUAUGAUAACUAUCGUGUAUGAAAAGUGAAAAAGUGGUAACCAAAUAUUGAUAAUGAGGUUGAUGGGCGAGUUGAGAUCCGUAGGUUGUCCGUAUUUCACUUAUUAUAGUAUAAUAAUUAUCAUAAUGUCGUGUUGAGAGAGAGAGAGAGAGAGAGAGAGAGAGAGAGAGAGAGAGAGAGAGAGAGAGAGAGAUAUAUAUAUAUAUAUAUAUAUAUAUGUAGGAUGAAUAAAACCGUACUUUUGAGGUGAUCAACAAAUCGGUUAUUAUUAAAUUUCAUAAUCGUAGUGUUUUAGUGUAGAAAAAUUUGAGCUCCUUUACGUUUUCAAAUUAAGUUCCAUUUUGUAUUCAUUAGCUUAUCACGUUUAUCACAUUUAUCUAGUCUCGACAAUACCCGUUAUAUCAGUAAGAAAGAGAAUAUAGAAAAACAAAGAGAGCUUCUAUUAUUUCUUUUACAUGCUUGUUAUAAGUACGUCAGAUAUUUUACUUUUCAAGUUUCUUAGUUUACUAAUUUCUUCACUAGUACGGGUAUNNNNNNNNNNNNNNNNUAUGUAUAUAUAUAUAUAUAUAUAUAUAUAUAUAUAUAUAUAUAUAUAUAUAUAUAUAUAUAUAUAUAUAUAUAUAAAUGAAUAUAUGAUUCUAUCAACUGGGACCUUUCACCGGAUUAGCUAAUCCAUCAUUUAUCACCACCUAAAGUGUUCAACCAAUGCCAACAUAACUUGUCGGAUUAUACCGAUCGAUGCUUUUCUCUCUAUACGUGUAACAAUCUACAAAGUAAUUGACUCUACGACCGCGAAUUUCGUCGAUAGCAAUCCCUAAUUACUUGUCACAAGGGGACCGCUUGCUCGAUCGAUAUAUCAACUCCCGUAAGAGUCGCGGUUAAGACCAACUUGUUCAUAAGAGUCCUAUUUUUUCAUAAAUCUGUAUAUUUUUUUACUUUUGACUAAUUCUAAGCUCCAAAUUAAUAACAUGAGAAACUUGGUACUAGGAUUGUACUUCAUGUUAUACUUUUUCUUAUAUCGUAUUUAUUGAGCUAGAGCUAUUUAAGAGUUGCACUUGAUGAAUGAACUGAGGCUGAUUAAUUGGGAAAUUUACUCCUCUUCCUUUUUUAUAUAUGUCCAUAUAGCUUUUUCUUCUUCUCUUUUUUUUCUUUUUUUUUUUUUUCUUUUCACUGAGAAAGACAUCAUAUAUAUAUAUAUAUAUAUGUAUUUAAUUAUAUAAGGAUUUGGAGGACCCCUACAUGACCUUUCAUAUAUAUGAGAUUGUAACUUAAUUUAUUACACUUAAACGAGAGAAAUAAAUUAAGCUUAUAAAUUUCUUCUUCUUGCUGGGGUGAUCGUGUUCUAGGACGGAUAAGGUGUGUAUGAUUUCGAAUUUGGUUUUAUAUAAACUUAAAAGAGUAUAAAGGGUCUUCCAAAUAAACUUAAAAUCUAGUUUAAAAUUAUCUUCUUCUUCAUCUUUUUUUUUUUUUUAAAGUAACAGUUGCAUGCAAGCAUAUAUUUGAACAUCUUCAUUUUUUUUUUUCUUUUUGUUCUUGAAAUAUAUAUUUUAGUAUAUAAAUGAAAAGAUGGAUGCAUGAGGGUACGUAAUAUGAACCUUGAUGAGCUCGGAGGGGCGGAAGUCGCCGAUCCAAACGAAGCAGCGCUCGGCGGGGGUCUUCCACGUGCCCGACAUGAGGUGGAAGGCGUCCGCUCUGACGAUGACGCCUUUCAGGCCCAUCAGCACGUCGUAGUGCGAGACCGCAGCCUCGACGAACAUCUGCAUCUGCCCGUCCGCCAAGUUCGAUUCCACCGCAGCCCGCAGCUGAAGCAUCAGCUUGUGAUGCUCCUCCAGCCAUCUCCUGUACUCCACGUCGAACAUCGCCGCCUCUGAUCGAUCGACGACCGACAAAAAUUAUUGACCAAAGGAUUGAUUGAUUCGAUCGUAAUACGAUCCGGUCGAUCGCAUCGCAUCGAUUGAGCUUCUUUUAGGGUUUUAAUUACUUAAAGUCGUACCUGAGCUGGUGCCGGUGCAACUACUAGUACUAUUUGCAAGUCCUUGGUCUCCGACGACGGCCGCUAUGCCGCUCAAGAGCGUGCCCUAAUCCAUGAAGACAAUGUUGAUCGAUUGAUUAUUCUUUUAUCAGGUUAUGAUCAUAUAUAAAGCAUGCAUGCAUGCAUGCAUGCAUAAGGGGGAAAAAGAAAAACUAUGAGUACUUUAUAUAUACACGUAUGUAUGCAUGUAUGUAUACAUAUUUGUUUGAAAGUUAAAAUCCAAUAAUAUAUAUUAUUAUACAUAUAAUGUGUACCUGAGUAGAUCUUGCUCUUUGGAGAUCUUGUUCAAGCUGGAUUAACCUAACCCUACUUGACUCUAGCUGUUGAAUGUAGGCCUGUUGAAUAUACAUACAUAUAUAUAUACAUGUAAAGUGAGAAAUGAGAAAUUUAUAUAUAUAUAUAUAUAUAUAAAACUAAGGAAAAAUGACAAAUAAAUAUACAUAUAUAUGUAUGCAUGUAUGAAAACAUCAAAACACACAAGAAUAAAGUGUAUGUGCAUGUCUCUUUUGGUAAAUAUUGUUGACUAAUUAAUUAACUAACUAAUUAAUUAAUUAAUUAACUAAUUAAUGGACCUUCUUCCUAAGCCUGCUUUUUCUUGCUGCCUCUCUAUUCUGUGCAAGCCUUCUUAGUAUCUGCACAUACACAAGAUGAGAAUGAGUCAGAUUAAUUAAACCAUGCCAUUAGAAGAUCACAAGGAGUUUUUUUUUAUAUUAAGCUGCAACAAUUUUCUUUUUUCAUUAUUAUCAUCUUUUUAUUAUAAAAGAGAAAAAAAAACAUAAAUAGGAGAUUAAUUAAUACAUGCAUAUUGUUUGUAUAUAUUAAUUAGUAGUGCUACUCACAGAAGGAGAAAGAGAAGAAGGACCUUCAUGCUCUGAACUAGAUGUUGUUGUGCCCUUUCCAUUUCCUCCCCUCUGCUUCCUACCAAUUAAAAGAACAACAAUAAUUAAAAAUAAAAAUAAAAAUAUUAAUAAAAGGUAGUUCUUGUAGUAAUAGUAAUAAUAAAGAGAGAGAGAGAGAGAGAGAGAGAGAGAGAGAGAGACCUUGAUUGAUGUUUUGGUUAUCUCUUUCCUUCGGUCAUCAGGAUGGGGGAUUGAGGGAUCACUUUUCUCUUUGCCUGUUAAUUCCAUGGGCUUGUUUAAUGGUUCCAAUUAUUAAUUGAGGUGUAGCUUUGAUUUUAUUUAUUUCCAAUAGCCAAUCAACUUUAUGAUAUUUGAUUCCCCAAGACUAACCCAUUAUUGAACUCCCUCCAUCGAUUCGUAUUACCAUCUCACUCUCUCAAUUUAUCUUAUAUAUCUGUCUCUCUUCUUUUUUGCCUCUUUUCUUUUUUCUUUUUAUAUAUACCAACGUAACUAAUAUUAUAUUACAUAUAUAUAUAUAACUAUUAUAUUAUAUUAUUACUAUAUCUUUAAAUGAAUUGUCUAUAUGGGAACGUUUCCCGGAUUAGUAUCCAUAUUUAUAUUCCACAUAAAGUGUCAACAUGCACAUAAUUGUGGAUUAUACGAUGAUAUUUUUCUCUCUAUGUGUACAAUGAGAGAGAGAGAGAGUUGUGCUGUAAUACUAUUAAUAAUAUGAUAUUAUUCACUUUAUGCCUGUUGGAUGCCUAGAGUUGAGCGGGUAGUUGGAGUAAUAGUUAUAAACCAAUGGUGAAAAAGUGAAAAGUAUGUGCUAUCAAUAGUAUCUUUAGUAUCUUAGUUGAAUUCUCAUUCUCUCUCUCUCUCUCUCUCUCUCUCUCUCUAUAUAUAUAUAUAUAUAUAUAUAUAUUUGUUAUAUGUUGAAUUUGGUGACAAGUAGUUAUUUCAUAUGAUAUUGGAGUUAUAAUAUCCCGACUUAACUUUUAAAGACGAACAGUUAUUUCACAUCAUAAAUAUAUGUUCUUCUUUCAAUUAAAUGAAGUGUCGCAUUCAGAAAGAAAAGAAGUCAUAUAUAUGAAACUAUAUAUUGUUGGUCUAGUCAAUAUGAAAAAUCAAAAAAAAAAAGAAAAAGUGAAAAAAAAAAAAACCCACAAAAAUACGCCGGAAAUAAGGAAGAAAUCAAACGCAGUUUAGAGAGAGAGAGAUCAGGUACGUAUGCAAAGCUCAUCCCAUACUUCAUAUCUGAGGUUAGUUUGAUUCUAUAAUUCCUAUUCCAAAUAGGAGCCAACUCAACUUUUUAUAGAAUAUUUGAAUCCAAGACCACAACCCCCCCAUUAUUGGAAAACCAUCUCCAUCAUGUAUCUAACCCCCCAUACCUCCACCUACUCUACCACAUUUAUUCUUCAUAUAUAACUUCUCCUUCUUCUUUUUUUCCUCUUUUCCUUUUUUCCUUUUUAUAUAUACCCCGAAACGUAACUACAUAUACAUAUAUAUAUAUAUAUAUAUAUAUAUAUAUAUAUAUAUAUAUAUAUAUAUAUAUAUAUAUAUAUAUAUAUAAAUCNNNNNNNNNNNNNNNNNNNNNNNNNNNNNNNNNNNNNNNNNNNNNNNNNNNNNNNNNNNNNNNNNNNNNNNNNNNNNNNNNNNNNNNNNNNNNNNNNNNNNNNNNNNNNNNNNNNNNNNNNNNNNNNNNNNNNNNNNNNNNNNNNNNNNNNNNNNNNNNNNNNNNNNNNNNNNNNNNNNNNNNNNNNNNNNNNNNNNNNNNNNNNNNNNNNNNNNNNNNNNNNNNNNNNNNNNNNNNNNNNNNNNNNNNNNNNNNNNNNNNNNNNNNNNNNNNNNNNNNNNNNNNNNNNNNNNNNNNNNNNNNNNNNNNNNNNNNNNNNNNNNNNNNNNNNNNNNNNNNNNNNNNNNNNNNNNNNNNNNNNNNNNNNNNNNNNNNNNNNNNNNNNNNNNNNNNNNNNNNNNNNNNNNNNNNNNNNNNNNNNNNNNNNNNNNNNNNNNNNNNNNNNNNNNNNNNNNNNNNNNNNNNNNNNNNNNNNNNNNNNNNNNNNNNNNNNNNNNNNNNNNNNNNNNNNNNNNNNNNNNNNNNNNNNNNNNNNNNNNNNNNNNNNNNNNNNNNNNNNNNNNNNNNNNNNNNNNNNNNNNNNNNNNNNNNNNNNNNNNNNNNNNNNNNNNNNNNNNNNNNNNNNNNNNNNNNNNNNNNNNNNNNNNNNNNNNNNNNNNNNNNNNNNNNNNNNNNNNNNNNNNNNNNNNNNNNNNNNNNNNNNNNNNNNNNNNNNNNNNNNNNNNNNNNNNNNNNNNNNNNNNNNNNNNNNNNNNNNNNNNNNNNNNNNNNNNNNNNNNNNNNNNNNNNNNNNNNNNNNNNNNNNNNNNNNNNNNNNNNNNNNNNNNNNNNNNNNNNNNNNNNNNNNNNNNNNNNNNNNNNNNNNNNNNNNNNNNNNNNNNNNNNNNNNNNNNNNNNNNNNNNNNNNNNNNNNNNNNNNNNNNNNNNNNNNNNNNNNNNNNNNNNNNNNNNNNNNNNNNNNNNNNNNNNNNNNNNNNNNNNNNNNNNNNNNNNNNNNNNNNNNNNNNNNNNNNNNNNNNNNNNNNNNNNNNNNNNNNNNNNNNNNNNNNNNNNNNNNNNNNNNNNNNNNNNNNNNNNNNNNNNNNNNNNNNNNNNNNNNNNNNNNNNNNNNNNNNNNNNNNNNNNNNNNNNNNNNNNNNNNNNNNNNNNNNNNNNNNNNNNNNNNNNNNNNNNNNNNNNNNNNNNNNNNNNNNNNNNNNNNNNNNNNNNNNNNNNNNNNNNNNNNNNNNNNNNNNNNNNNNNNNNNNNNNNNNNNNNNNNNNNNNNNNNNNNNNNNNNNNNNNNNNNNNNNNNNNNNNNNNNNNNNNNNNNNNNNNNNNNNNNNNNNNNNNNNNNNNNNNNNNNNNNNNNNNNNNNNNNNNNNNNNNNNNNNNNNNNNNNNNNNNNNNNNNNNNNNNNNNNNNNNNNNNNNNNNNNNNNNNNNNNNNNNNNNNNNNNNNNNNNNNNNNNNNNNNNNNNNNNNNNNNNNNNNNNNNNNNNNNNNNNNNNNNNNNNNNNNNNNNNNNNNNNNNNNNNNNNNNNNNNNNNNNNNNNNNNNNNNNNNNNNNNNNNNNNNNNNNNNNNNNNNNNNNNNNNNNNNNNNNNNNNNNNNNNNNNNNNNNNNNNNNNNNNNNNNNNAAAUACUCUAAAUCAUGUUUAACAGUGUGGAUCGUUAAUUCGGAAGCCCCAACAUCGAAAAUAAUUUAUGAGUACGAAGGGCUCUAUACUCAUAAGAGUAUAGUAGCCCUACUCUCUCUCUCUCACUCUCUCUCUCUCUCUCUCUCUCUCUCUAUAUAUAUAUAUAUAUAUAUAAAACUAAGGAAAAAUGACAAAUAAAUAUACAUAUAUAUGUAUGCAUGUUGAAAACAUCAAAACACACAAGAAUAAAGUGUAUGUGCAUGUCUCUUUUGGUAAAUAUUGUUGACUAAUUAAUUAACUAAUUAAUUAAUUAAUUAAUUAACUAAUUAAUGGACCUUCUUCCUAAGCCUGCUUUUCCUUGCUGCCUCUCUAUUCUGUGCAAGCCUUCUUAGUAUCUGCACAUACACAAGAUGAGAAUGAGUCAGAUUAAUUAAACCAUGCCAUUAGAAGAUCACAAGGAGUUUUUUUUUAUAUUAAGCUGCAACAAUUUUCUUUUUUCAUUAUUAUCAUCUUUUUAUUAUAAAAGAGAAAAAAAAACAUAAAUAGGAGAUUAAUUAAUACAUGCAUAUUGUUUGUAUAUAUUAAUUAGCAGUGCUACUCACUUUGGGAUCAGGUGUCUUGGGACCUUCAUGCUCUGAACUAGAUGUUGUUGUGCCCUUUCCAUUUCCUCCCCUCUGCUUCCCACCAUUUAAAAGAACAACAAUAAUUAAAAAUAAAAAUAAACAUAAUAAUAAAAGGUAGUUCUUGUAGUAAUAGUAAUAAUAAAGAGAGAGAGAGAGAGAGAGAGAGAGAGAGACCUUGAUUGAUGUUUUGGUUAUCUCUUUUCUUUGGUCAUCAGGAUGGGGGAUUGAGGGAUCACUUUUCUCUUUGCCUGUUAAUUCCAUAGGCUUGUUUAAUGGUUUCUUAGAAGAGCCUCCAUCUGGGAUCAUAGUCAUAGCACCCUACACACACACACAUAUAUAUAUAUAAGAAGUUAAGAACACUACAUUUUUUUAUUUUAAUUAAUACAUAGGAAAAAAGAAAAAGAAAAAGAAUUUCUAGAUGGUCGUAAAUUAAAGCAAGUGCAAGGAACAAAGGAAAUGAGCCACAAUUAGAAAUUAAUGGGGGGUGUUGAAUUAAUAAAAAGUUUUAGAAAUAAUGUAACAUGUGGUCAGUACCUUUGACGAUGGAUCUUCUACAUGCAUGGGCUCAGAAGGGAAAAUAUUCAAAGUCUCUGCAACACAUGAACAUCAUUAGCUCUCCUCAAGGUGCAAUAUAUAUGCAACUAAUUAUAUUUAUAAAUAAAUAAAUAAAUAUAUAUAUAUAUAUAUAUAUGUAUAUAUAUAUAUAUAUAUAUACCUCAAAUUAAUACAGCAUGCUAAUAUAUAAACAUGUACUCAUGUAACAAACUUUUACUCAAUAACAAAAGUAUACAUAUUAGUUUGCACCUCCUUUAUAUAUAAGUGCAUGUUGUGGGGGCAAUAGAGUAGAUAAGAGUUGGGUUAAAAAGGAAAUUAAGUUUGAAGAACAAUUAAUUAAUUGCACCUUCUUUUUAGAACAACUAGUUUAAAGAACAAUUUAAUUAGAAAUCCAGAUUAAAAAAAAAAAAAAAGUUACAAGAAGAUAUGCAUGCCUUAAGAAUUAAUUGUGGAAAAUUAAGAACCAACACUACUGUUCUAGAGAGAGAGAGAGAGAGAGAGAGAGAGAGAGAGGCGUACGCCGUUGCGCUUGAACAAGUGAUGAUUGAUCAUUGCCAUCCAGGUAGAAGAAGAGGGCUUGAUCCAAUUCCGCCAAAUCAUACGCUCCUGAAUCCUUGCUCCUGAUUUUGUUAGAGUAUAUAAGAGGAAAUUAAAAAGAAAUUAAGAAUCAUGAGGAAAUUAUACAAAUAGUUAAGAACCCUACAAUUUGGUUGAGCAAAUAUAUACUAAAUCUAAUCCCUACAAUUCAAGGGGACUCCUUAAAAUUUUCUCAGGAAAACAAUAUGGCCUAGUAUUUGUUCUUUUAAUUCUUCCUCUACCCUCUCUCUCUAGAUCUCUCUUGUGUAAGUGCCAAAAAAGAAAGGGGAAAGAAAGAAAAGGAGAGGAAAGGAAAGGAGAACAAGUAUCAAAAUAGGUCUUGGAGACUACUUUGAAAACAAUAUGUCGAAUUCUAUCGUGUCGAUUGCGACACUGCUUUUUUCCCAUGACCAUACCUUGAUGAUCUAUUAUCCAUCAAAAACACCACCACAAGUCAUGAUCUAGCUAGAAUCAGAAAGAAAAUCUAACUCAUGGGUUUCUUCUCUAAUCUAGGGUAAGCAAUAAAUUAACUUCUAUCCAAUCCAGUCUCGCUCAAUCGGUGUUACCGUACAUGGACGAAGAGGGACCGAUCAUCCCGGAAGAAGAAGAACAACAACUAUGGAGUACUUGUUGUUGUAGCAGUUGUUGUUGUUGUUGUUGUUGUUGUUGUUGUUCCCCUUCCUUUGAGCUCCCUCUACAAUUAUCUCCCAUGCAACUACUACUACAACUACUGCUGCUGCUGCUGCUCUCUGCAACAACUCGACGAUCGCUUUCGCUUUCUCCUUCAAUAAUCCUUGUUGAUCUCCUUCAUGAGAGAUAGAAGCGGCCAUUAAUGGCGAACCCGAUUUCCGUUACACUCCAUCUAUAUUUGCGUCUAAAAUCGCAAUUAAAAGCUAUAAAGAGCCGCCUCCUUUCUUCUGUUCGACGUGUCGAUCCUUCCGAACCCUUCCUCAACCCUCCCUCUGACCAAGAGGAGCCGCAACAAGUUAUCCAUCUACUUACAUAAUCACUUUUCUAUUCUUUUUCUCUUUUUUUUUUGUUCAUCUAUUUCCUUUUCUUAAUUAGUAUAUAGCUUGUUCUUUUUCUUUAGGGUGGAGGAUACAAUUGUUAUUGUAUGGACCUGGCCUAUGGACUUGGUCGCAAUAGCCGUACUACUUGCCUCGAUGGAGAUGGAGAUUAAGAUUAAGAGAAAAUUAAUGUUAUGUACAGCUGCAACUAUUUUACAUGCAUGUUAAAUAAGAAAUCGAAGAAAUUCGAGAACACACACAUAUAUAUAUAUAUGCAUGGUGGGCCCUACAAAUUCAUUUUCACAAUUGUAGUCUAAAAAGGUUCCAUAUGCCCCUAAAGUAUAUUGUAGUUACAUCAUUAAUCUCUUUGGAGAGAAUAUAGGGAAAUAAUAGGGCUAGCUCCCUCGUCCGUUCGUGUGUAUGUGUUGCAUUUUAAUCAGCUCAAUCAAUCGUCAGUAGUGUUGGCUUAAAUGGACUAGCAUCCUGGCCUAUAGUCGAAGGCCAUGUUGGGCUAAGUCAUGUUCGAAAUGGCGUGAAAUUAGGUGGGCCAGUCAUGUUCGAAGUGGCAUGAGGCUGGUUGGACCGAGUCACAAUCGAGACCCAUGGGCACUGUAUCUAUACGCUUUAAGUGAAUUGAUCGUCAGUAGAUGACAUGGUAAACUAGGUCCAGGCACGAAAUUUCUCGUGUCGUAUGUGGGUAAGAUUACCCUCCACAGACACUCGAUCAGAAUGGUAAAUACAAGCGACAAUUAAUCUUGUUUAAUUAAUAAUUACCAUGGUAAUUAACCUGACUAAACCCGGAUUUUUCUUGCAAAAUGACUUUUAGAAAUGCCCCUUGGCUACGUGCCUACAUGCAUGCAAGGGUGUAGAGACCAUCUCCUUCCGAAGGCUCACACUUGGUUACUAUGUAGUUCAUGUCGCGACAACGGCAGCAGUACUGGCACGAACGAACGUACGUACGUGUCUGUCAUUCACGCCGAUAGCCAUACGCACGCAGCGUGGUACUCGUGCUUGCUGCCUGACAAAGUAACCAACCGAGAGAAAAACCGACAAAGCUAAAGGCGACCGUGAGAUACAUGAGGGAUAUGAGGACGAUCGAUGAAGAUCACAUCAUACGCAAGUUCGUAGUUUAAACACUUUGCUCUUUCGAAUAGAAUGUAGGAAAUCGAUCGCAUUCUCAUUAAUUUCUCCUGUUAAAAAGUAAAUUAUGUCAACAAUAGAUUACUGUAAUGAGGAUUAUGGCCUUCAAUUACGUUCUUCGAUCCAACUCAACCACAACACUCAAAAUAUAUGUAGUAGAAGAAGAACCCUAGAAGGUGACAUGAUUAUAAGUUAACCAAAUAUGUACACUUAAGUUAAAAAAGCAUCAUAUACACCUAAACUAUAUAUUGACCUUCAUAUGUAUAUAUAGGGUACAUAACUUGACAUUAAUUAUUAAUUAUCAUAAAGUAAUAAGUGAUUACUAGAAGGAGAUAAUAUAAUUAAAGCUAGCAUUUGGAUGGGUUUUGUAUCUUUCUUUGUUUUUGCCAAGGGGUUACCUAAUUAAUUAAAUUGACUAAGGGGAAAAUGACAUAGCAAUAUUUAAAUGAAACUCUCUCUCUCUCUCUAUAUAUAUAGUCAAUAAUUAACAACUUCUCCUCUAAUUUUCCCACUAAUCAUUAAUUAAUUGGAGGCAAAAAGUAUAGCAAUUAACUUAAUUUGAUUGCCACAUCACAUUACACGAACAUGAUAUAAUUAAGUCAUUAAAAUACAGUAAUACCGAUUACUGAACCAACAUAUUUGAAUUUGGACAGUUGUACAAAUACAUAUUUAUAUAUGUAGCUCUAUAUAUAUAUAAAGUUGGUACGUAUUUGUAUAUGUUACAUGAUCGGCAAAGAUAUAUAUGUAAAAAAAAAUUUCGUAUAUAUAUAUACUCCGUAUAAUAUUCAAAUCAUCAACUUGGAGCAUUGGAUUAAUCUCAUUAAUUUACUUGCAACUAAAUGGGAAAGGACAUAAUAUUACUCUUUUAAAUAUUAUACUAACCAGGCUUUAAUUGUACAAAUUUUAGUUAAUUAGAAGUGAAAAUCAUUAGGUUUUUUUUUUCUUUUUUCUUUUUUAGGGGAAAACUUCAAAAAAACCCCCCUGUGGUUUCAUGCUUUCUCGCUUUAGUAUCCUGUGGUUUCAUGCUUUCUCGCUUUAGUAUCCUGUGGUUUAAAACGUAUCAAUUUGCCCCCCUGUGGUUUCGUUUUUCUCUUUUUGUUAUCAAUUUUAUUAUUAUUUUUUUCUUAAAUCAGUGACAAAGUUAAAAUUAAAGGAUACUAAAGUGAAUAUUCGAUAAACAUAGAUGGUUAUCUGAAGUUUUUUGUAUAUAAUUUAACGAAAUAUUAACGAAAAAGCUUCCGAAAAAAUAAAAAUGAAACCACAGAGAGGCAAAUUGAUACGUUUUAAACCACAGGGUACUAAAGUAAGAAUGCACGAAACUACAGGGGGGUUUUUGAAGUUUUCCCUUUUUUUCUUUAACACCACCAACCACAAGAGAUCUUAUACUCUGACAGAUGAUGACGUCAUCGUUACGUUUGUCCAUCCUAUCACAUCUUGCCACGUGUGUUGAAAAACACGGUUCCUUUUUUUUUUUUUUUUUUUUUUUUGAGGGUACACAAGAGUGGGCCCCGCACUCCUUGCCCUAACGAGGACCAAAGUGUGAAUAUGUGCUAGGCGGAAUCAAAAAAUAAUAAUAAUAAUAAUAAUAAUACUUUAAUAUAUUAUGUAAAUGUUAAUUAUUUAUUUUUGUAAAUAUAUAGAUGAUUAAAAUGUAAUAUGAUUUUACAGGCGACCUACUAUUCAGGUAUAAAUAUCAUUCACCAUGUACUUAUUUAAAAAGGGUAUAUAUUUUGAUCUUAAAAAAAAUAUUUUGGUCUACAAAAUCGGUUUUAUCAAACUACGAAUACUAUAACCUUCUCAAAUACCUACAACAAUAGUUGAAAUUCAAAUUACAACUAAACUGUAAAUUUUAUGUAAAGCAACAUAAAAAAUUUAAUUAUAAAUCAACUUCAACUUUUAAAUAUAAAACACAAAUUUAAAAUAAAACUUUCUUUUCAAAUUCAAAAUUUUAAGUAAUUUAAAUCAAAAAUUAAAAUUUAGCUUUCAAAUUAAAAGUACAAUGUAGAUUCAAAAUUUAAAAUUUUAAUAUAAAUUUUUGAAAUUAAAAUUUGACAUUACAAUACCAACUUCAAAACUUAACUUUAAAUUCAAUAUUUUUUUUUUUGAGUUGGAUACUGAACAAAUUAGGUAUUCUCUAAUUUGGUAAGUAACAAAACUAAAUAAAAUACUUAAUAUUAUAGGAUGCUAACAAAUUUAGUAUAUACUACUAAUUUUUUUUUCAAUAUGAUAUCCGUAACUUGUUCAAUAGGUUACUUUAUGUAAAAUCCAACUAUAUCCUUUACUAAUUAAGAAUUUGAUUUUAAUACUUAAUUAUGGUGUACCGAAGCAUUGCUGAAAAAAAAAAAUCUAUAAUUCAAAAAAAUAACAUAACUAAUUAAAUCUCUUUAUUAAAAAAAAAAUAAUUAAAAAUAAUUUAACGGCUCCUAAACUUCCGUAAGUAUACUAAACUAAUCCAUUUAGUCAUUAAUUUGAUGUGAUUGGCAAAAAUGACGUGUGGCACGAGAUUAGUAUUUUUUUUUGCGAAAACCUUUAAAAGUCAAGUGUUAUUUUAACCUGAAAACCAUAUAAAUUAUUAAAAUAAGCUGUGAUUAAUUUGGAAAUCAAAAAAAGUAGUCCCAUCUUAUCAAACUAAUGGUAAGUUUUUAAUUCGUGUCUUUAGUUCAUAAAUUGUGACAAUGUGCUUGAGAGUUACAUACUUUGGAUGCUUCUAGAGAAAUUUUUGAGCUAUUUAUUCUUUUUUUUUUAGAAAAAAUUUCAAAUAUUAUCCAUGUGGUUUCACACUUUCUCACUUUAUUAAUAUCUCAUGAUUUAAAGUGUAUAAAUUUAGAGUCCUGUGGUUUCAUUUUUAUCCUUUUAUUAUCGAUUUCAUUAAUUUUUUUCGUUAAACCAAUGACAAAGUUAAAACUAAAGGGUACUAAAGUGAAUAUUCAAUAAACCUAGGUGGAGUAUCUGGAGUGUUUUGUAUAUAAUUUAACAAAAUAUUAAUGGAGAAACCGACAAAAAGAUAAAAAUAAAAUCACAUGACACUAAUUUAAUACACUUUAAACCAUAAGGUACUAAAGUGAGAAAGUGCAAAACCACAGGGAUAGCAUCUGAAGUUUACCCUUUUUUUAUAUAUAAUAGAAAACUUUCUCAUGGAGCGUGGUACCUGAGACCCAAGUUGGAAUCCUAAUUGAUUUAUAUUCACAGCUAAGUUUAUUUCUAAAUAAAAUAAAUGAAGCGGGUAGCGUGCUACCUAUCUCUCUCAAAAAAAAAAAAAAAGAAAACUCUCUCAUUGGCUUAGUGAAUCCCAAAAAUGGGCCCACCAAAUCUAUCUGGUUUGCUACUUUGACUAAGCCACAAUUAAACAAGUUAAAUUAGUCAUACACCAUUAAGUUGAUAUAUAUAUAUAUAGAGAGAGAGGGUGCAUGCACCUGAUGUCAAUAUCGGGGUGAGGUGAAGGAUGCACAAUCAAACUAUUCUGUAAAGACUCUGUGAAUGUUGCGGUUUUAUUUGUGUCCUUAUCUAUGUCAAAUAUCUAAAACCAUGAUUAAAAUAUGGUCGCCGCACAAGUAUAAAUGAUAAAUGCCUUGGUAUUUUAUACCUUUUCUUAUACGGUCACAACAUAAAUGCAUAAGUAAUGGGUUUUUCAAACAAUAACAAUUCUCAAACUACUAAUUAGAAAUUGUAGAUCAUAUCUAACGAGCAAUAUAUUUAGGUUUAAUUAAUUAAGGCCUCUGGAAAUCGAGUUUUGGCGUCGCCGGUCUAUGGACCGCGGUCCAUCGAAUAAUCUCUUAUGUUUUAGACAAUGAAUAUUAAAAAAAAAAGAAAAAAGGAAAGGGCCAAAAAAAAAAUGUCCUUAUCAACAAAAACUAAUAUUUCUUUGCUACACCAAACCAUAAAUAAUAACCCUCAUAGAGGUAGCUUCUGAAACCUAACAAAUGCAUAUUCAAUUGUAACACGCAAGUUUAAUAAUAAUGAUAAUAAUAAUAGUACUAAAAUAAGAAUAAAAUCAAAAUUAUUAUAAGAAAACACCUUCCAAUAAUUUUUGAUUUUUUUUUUACAAAAAAGGAGAGAGGCCCAAUUCAUGCUUUGUAUAAUUAACCCCUUUGACAUUUGUGACAACAAAAGGAAUGAAAAAAUAUAUAUACAAGAAUAAUUAUUUAACAUAUUAAAUAUAUAUUCAAAUACAUAAGCUUAGCUUUCAUGCAUGUGUUACAUAUUCCAAAAUUGACCCUAUAAUUAUUAAUUAAAAUAUUAGGGGGUGAAUAAAUUAACUUAUAAGGUAAAAAUGUAUGGAGAACCCCUCGAAUAUACGCUAUUUCAAAAUAGUCCCCGCAACUUUAAUUCUUUUUCUUAUUGGCACUUCUUUGACUUCUUUUUUUCGGGGUUAUUAAAAUACAAUAAAAAUAUCUUAAAAUACCGUAACUUAUUACGCCGCAAUAAAAUUUAAAAGUAUUCGAAAAGAUACAUACUUUAGUUGAAUAUUUUGUUAAAUUAAAAUGGCCGUAUUAGCUACUAACCAUUAAUUGUUUUAACCUUAAAAAUAUGUCAACAAAAAAAAAAAAAAAAAUUUAAAUUAAGGGGGUUAUUUCUGAGUAUAUUAUAGUUGAGUGGUGUCUCCACACAUUUUAACCUAAAUCUCAGCCACAAACAUCUCAAAUUUCAAAUCACUGUUCUCAAUUCUAUGUGUCAGUGUCACCAGUUUAUUACUUUCCUUGUUUUGUUUUGGAGAAUAAAUAUUUUUGUGGAAUUAUUUAUUCAGUCCUUGUUGCUUGGCCCACAAAUAUUUGUCUUAAAAGUUUAUAUAUAAUUUUUUUUGAAAAAGUAAAUGGAUUAGGUAGGUAUCAAGACUCUGGAACAUGUGACAAACUUGUUCAAAGAUUUUAGUUUAUUUUAAUUUUUUUUUUGGAGAGAGAGAGAGAGAGAGAGAGAGAGAGUUUAUACCAAUGGUUUUAAGCAUUCAUCAACACAGAUUAUAUCCACCGUGUCAUAUCGUGCUAACGAGGUAUCAGCACAGUACAAUCCCCGUGUCGAUAACAUAACUCAAAACUCUUUAUUCUUUAAAUUAGUAAAUAAUUUUUUCAAUAAAGUAAAAAAAAAUUGAUAAAGAAACAUACUAAACGGUUAGAAUAUUUUAUUGCUGAAGAAAAUAUAUAUUCCAUGCCAUUAUAUAUCGGCACAUAUUUUUUUUUAUGACUGACAAGCAUCGCACGGUCCGAUAUGCACUAUGUCGGCAAGUUUCGGACACAAUCCCGCGCCACGAUACUUAAAUCCUUGGCUUAUACCCACUUCUUUUUGAGAAUUGAGAAUAAAAUAAAUAGUUAACAAAAGUGGGGGUAUUAAUGUGGUAUCAUUAGAUAGGAAGGAACAGUGUUAAAUAAGAUCCUCAUUUAGUAUUAGAUUAAAGAGGAAAAACAAAAAAAAAAUAUAGAACUACCAUGCAAACCAAGCAUUUGGUAAUGUAGCUGGAAAUAAAACUCAACAGAUGAAAAUUGCAACUGUGAGAAGGUUAUGGGCUUGGGCCUCGACGAAUCCUCGAAUUUCAAACCAAGGUCUAGUUAGAUUAGCACCACCCGACGGAUCUUCUGUUUGGUUGCAUACAGUUACAACUGUACCGGAAUACCACGAUUAGUUCGAUAUACUCGGAUCGAACCGCUGUAGCUGAAGCUGCACAGAGGGACAUUUAACUGCAGCAUUUGGAACUACUCUCAACUGCAGCAACUUACACAAUAAGUGAACUUACAUGCCAAAUCAUCUUCUACUUGAGGCACAAGAAGAAAAACUGUUUCUGAUUCAAUUCCAUCAUAUGGCUAAUGAUGUUAGUUCAUGAGAAAAGCAAACAAAAUGGAAGUGGGAAUGAACCAGAGUAUCGAAUUCUGCUAUAACAAGAACAUCACACAAAAAGAAUUUGCCAAGAGAAAAAUCAAAGAUUCCAAUAAAAGAACUUCAUGGAAGCGAAGUUACGAGACUACAGCAUACAAAAGUCUACUCCAUCCGUGAUGAUCGACGAAUGCGACUGCUAAACUGGAAUCAUGAAAUAUCGCACGAUUUAAGAUGAAGUUCCAUAACAUACAAGCUGAAUAGCGGAAGCCUUAAACACCUAACAAAAAGAAGCAUGAAAAUGGCCUAACAAGCAUACUACAGCAUGUCAGCGGAAACUAUGUUACAGUAAUAGAAAGACAGGUUCAUGCCUACCGAUACUAGAUGAUCUACUCAUAGGAUUUAAAUACGAUGCGAGUCGAACAAAAGCAGCACCAUCACAAAUUAACAGAGGAAAGCAGUACAAAGAAACUGAAGAACCAACAAAAAAACAUGAUAACAAAACAAGACAGUCCAACAAGAACAGCAUACUAGUUGACGAGGCGCGGAAUCCCACGGAGACGUAAACAAUACUUGUUUACCGGAACACGGAGCGGAUAUACCUGCUCUCACAACAUGCUAUCGGUUCGCGCGGGCAAUCUCCUGAAGAAGUUGAGCGGAACCGACGGGAGCUUAUGGCGAAACCUCGGAUGUCUUAGCACAUAUAAGCCCGUCAAAAAGGCUACAACACGGAACGGCGUGACGUAGAGCACGAUGGCGGCGAUCAGGCAGAACACGACAAACAGCGCGGUGGCUCGCGGGUCCCGCCAGCUCAAGAGCGACUGCAGCCUCUCUCCCUGCGUAGCCAAAUCGCCCACGACCGUCUGUACUCUCCCCGCGACGCUCCUCAGACGGUCGUACCUCAUCCUGAUGAUAUCGGGUGGCCGAGAUGUCGGGAAAGUGUCGAAUUCCUCAUCGAGCUCAUCUGGGUGGGCGGUCUCCGCGUGGGAGAGACGCGUGUCCAUGUGGGGCGGCUGCCUCGGCCUCCAUCUGUAGUACCAAACCCCGAUCAAGAAGAGGUAGAGAAAGAUCGUCGGGAGAAUCAGUUCGGGGUACAAAACCAAUAUCACAAAGAGGAUGUGGAUUAGUAUUGUAGUCAAAGGGUUUUUCCAGUGGCAAAUCUGAUCAAACCAUUUCCCCACGGCGAUCAAAGGGCCCAACACGCCCAUGAUUCUGAAGAAGUUGGCUUUACUCUUUCGCAUGCUCCACAUGUGUGAAUCCACGUCGAGCAUAUACUCCACUACCUCCUUUCUCAGAGGUGGCUCAGCACGGCCUAGCCUCAUCGAGACUAUCUGAAUGGCCUGGUGCCUCAGAUUAUCAAGCUGCAUCACGGACAGAGGGUGAAGGUAAUGCAUCUUCGGCAGCAACGGCUGGGAGUACAGGUGCAACAUGUUGAGGAGAGAGGAGCACGUGAAUCGGACGGCCAAUUGAACCUCUCCCAUCUUCUUCACUCCCGAAGGAAGUAACACGAUGAGAGGGUAAGAAUGGGUGUAAACCCGAUCUGUCUCGAGAGUAGAGAGACGGAUCCGCACCUUCCCGAUUCUAUUAUCCCGCGCACCCGCCGCCUUCUCGCCCCCUUGUAAGUGACAGUUGUCGAACACUCCGAUCGUUAUAACAGUACACGGAUCGUAGACCUCCCACGUGUACUGCUCGUUCCAUUUGGGAGUGAAACUAUCUAUGAUGGUUCUCGUGCGGACCCAUUUCUGCCCGUAUUUGGCAACACAAUAAGCAUCUGUCGUCCCACGCCCAUCUUUAGUCUUCAUCGGCAGCAACCCCUGAGCACUCAAAAUACCCAAUUCGAGAACUCCGAUGCUCUGCUUCCACAACUGUUUCGCGGUGGGUCUUAGGUCGCUGCUAUAGUGAGUUGACUCAUCCAAUACAUGGUACCCGCCUUCUAAGCAAAUUCGCACAUGAAUCCGGCUAGAAAACUUGGUGUCCUUCUUCUGCUCGCCAUCGACUGUCACAUGCUUUUCAAGAUUGUACCACCGGGUGUUUACGGCCUUAUAAUCAAGCCUUCUGUCCACAUUUUGCAACGGGAUGAUUGCCUUCCCCAAUACCUCGUCCUUGUUGGGUGCGACCCGAUCCUCUACGCUUAGAACCAGGUGCUCCUCAAACGGCUCGGCCGCCACGAACAUCAAAUCCUCGUUCCACAUCGGAUUAAUCGUCCUGCUCGGAGAUACACGGGUCCUAAGAGCUUGGUUCCCUAAUAUGGCCUUAACAUAGACUUCGGGGAACCGGCUCUUAUCGCUAGGUUGAAGAUCCUGGGCUUCGAUAAUAUUAACACGCACGUACCAGAGCUUAGGAGUGAGAUACACCUUCGACCUAAUAUUCGCGAGGCCGUCGCUGGGGACGGUCGCGGCGUCAGAAUGCCAGGCAUCAGGAAAAGCCUCGUCGGCCUGAGUCCCCCACCAAACAGCCAGCAUGAGCUCCCCCUUCACCUUAUCCCCCUUCCGGUCCUCCAACCGGUACCACUGGGGGGCCAACGGGCUGUCGGGCGGGACCCGCUUAGGGAUCUCAGUGAGGUCGAAAACCACCCGCCCGAUAAUGUCGUCCUUCACGAAAUCCUUGUCCUUGACCACGACUUCCAAGUGCGACGCCUGAAUCCGCUCUUUCGAGAAAGCGAAGACUUGGUUCCAUUCGGGGUUGGUCUUCUUCUCGAAAUGGCGGGUGGUUCCCUUGUAGUUGCCGAGCUUGACCUCGACGAAGGGGUCGCAGCUGCCCGUCACGUCCUUCGUGGGCAGGUCUUUGGCCUUCACGACCCGAACGUAGAGAUACUGCAUCUGCUCAACGAGAUCAUAGGUGGUCGUGAGCUUGUCGCCCGCGGCCCCACCGCCGCCGAGGUGCGGGGUGGUCUCCUUCAAGGAGUACUCCUCGGGACGAGGCGGCACUACUACUCUCUGCAUCUUCUCCUCAAACUGUCGCGAAACCUUCGAUUCUACGACAAAUCACUGCAACAAAGGCAAGCAUAUAAAAAUAUUCUUCAGAUUCAACAAAUUAGCUCUGUUUCAACAGGUUAAAAAGUAUUCAAAAAAAAAAAAGAGAGCAAAAAACAGCAAAAUGUAUAAUAUCACACAAUGACAAGCAUAAUAAAAAUCAAAGAGAAGUGAUUGGUAGUUACAUAUUAAUAUAAUCAAAAAGAGAAUAGUGAACACCUCAUUGGGCUAAUAAAAAAAUGCGAAGAAAAAAGUAAGCUGUAAAAUUACUAUGCAAUCAAAUGCCUCUACUGUGAAAUUAGUACAAGUUACAGCUACAAUAGAUCUGUUCCUAAUAUUCAAAAAGUUAAAGGGGAUAAAAACGAAAUCGAAGCCGAGAUCUCCGGCGAUUGUUGUUAGUAAUCUGAAACCCUAGACAACAGUGAACAACGGCGCAUUUUGUUUUGAUUCAUUAAACCAAAGCAAGAGAAUGUGAAACCUACAUUUUACAUCAAAAAAAUCACAGUUAAAAAAAAAAAAAAAAAAAAAAAAAACUAAAAAACUUACAUAGAUCGCUCCCAUUUUGCACUAAAACAAACCCUAACACUUCAAAAAUAAACCACUUUUUUUGGUCUAAAAAGUUAAAGGAAAACUAGUGAGAGAACACGAGAGAAGAGAUUUGCACACACAUUACCCGAAGCUACAAACCCUACACCAUUUUUAGGUCGAUCUAGCACUAACAAUCCAAACCCUAGACGCCAAAAACGACUCCUCUUUUACUUCAAAUAGCCACUACAACUACAUUGAACCCUUCCUCCUUCCCCAAAAUCCCCAACAAAGCCACGAAACCCUAAUCCGAACCAAAAAAUCUCGGAUCUAGGUCGAAUAUUCUCCACGCAAAAAAUAAACACAAACAAAAAACGCAGCAAAUGCCACACAAAAAAAAAAAAAGAAAAGAAAAAGAAAAAGGUUGGUACCUCGAUCGAUCGAAGGAGGUGAAACCCUAGCUGCGAGUGCGGCGGAGAAGGAUCCCGGAGCUUCUUCAUCUAUCCAUCCAUGGCGAAUAUAUUUCGGAAAACCCCCUCAAAUUCUCGAAAUUUCCUUUUCUCGCUUUUUUUUUUUUUUUACACUACCCAAAAAAAAAGUAGCUAUAGAGAGAGAGAGAGAGAGAGAGAGAGAGAGUGUUUGUGAUAUUAUUGAGAUGUGAACACCCAAAUCCCCACUACCUAAUUAUUAUUCUCAUCUAUUAUUAUUUAUUUAUUUUUAUUUUCUUUUUUACUUUUUCCCUUUUUCUAAUUAUUAUUUCUUUUUUAACUAAAUCCACCGGUGUUUUCGACACCUAAAGUGGACUCUCCAUUCCGCAAGUGGGCCCCACAAAUUAAUAUACGAUAUAAUAAUUUAUUUAUAAUAAUAAUAUGUAAAAAAUUUAUGUAUGAAAUAUAAAUUUAUAAAUUGUUAGAAUAAAUAAAAUGUAAGUUUAAAAUGUAUGUAUUUAUUAUUAUUAAAUUAAAUCUUAAUUUUGAGAUAAGGGAGAGGUGGGUGGUGUGUGGGGGGUUUUAAAGCGUGGGUGCGUUUUUGUGGUGGGUUUUAUUAAGAGGAGUUUUUUUUUUUCCUUUUUUUGAAAAAAAUAAAAUCCUUUCCUUAAAUUAUGGCAUUGGGAGGGGCCGCGUGUGGUGUGGAACCCGAGGUGGUGGUCGCGACCGCGGUCGGGGUCUGGUCCAGGUCAAGUCGCACGUGCGAGGGGCAUUUUUGUCCAUGUCAGCUAAUAUAUAUCUAUACUAUAUAUAAAGCACGUAUAUUCAAAUUUGAGUCCGUCGACAGACCUAUUUUUCGGCAGAAAAAUUAGCGCCCAUUUUUUUCUUUUCAUACGAAAAAUUUUAAAUAUAAGAAUAAAAAUAGAAAUAGAAACAACAAUAAAUACGUAAGUUCUCUAUAACAGAUUAUUAAUGUGAAAAUUCUAAAAUAUAAAUUUUUUUAUUUAAUUUCAAAAGUAAGUUUUCUAUAACAGAUUAUGGGUGUGAAAAUCCUAUAAAAGAUAUUUUCCUAUUUUAUUUUAAAAUAUCUUUUUUAGAUAUUAUCUAUUUAAUUUCAAAAUAUAUUUUCUUUUUAAGAUAACGGAUUUUAUUUUUCUAUUUAAUUUCAAAAAUUUAUUUCCUAACAGAUUUUAUUUUUCUAUUUAAUUUCAAAAGUUACUUUUGCAUUAGAGAUUAUUGUUUAAUUAUUUAUCAUUUAAAAUAUAUCUCUUAAUACGUGAUUUAUUACUUUAAAUUUUUUAGAUACAUAUUUGGCAAUCAUAUAAUAUGACCUAAAAUUAAAAAAUAAUUUAAAAAAAUUAUAACUUUUCUAAUAAUUAUUAUGUACAUUUGCACGUACAUUUACUAGUAUAUUAUAUUAUAUAUAUAUAUAUAAUAUAUAUUAUAUAUAUAUAUAUAUAUAUAUAUAUAUAUAUAUAUAUAAUUUACUCUAUAUGAAUCCUCAAUAAAAUUGAUGACAUGGCAAGCCCUCCUUUUUUUUUAAUUUUAAUAUUUUUAUAUUUUUUAAUGGUGGUUCAUUUUUUUAUUCUACAUUUAAUGUAUUAAUAGUUAUAACUCCAUUAAUACUCACCUCUUAAUUACUCUUUAAUUUUAUUUAUAUCCAUAUAAAUUUUUUAAUAGUUCAUAUUUUUACUAUCUUAUUAUAUUUAAUGUUGCUAAUGAUAGCUACAUAUUACAUGCAUAUGUUUUCUUCCUAAUUAAUUAAAUAAAUACUAUACUUUAUGUGACAAAUUAAUAUGUGGUAGUAAAUAUAGCUUCUCCAAGCUUGAUAAACCCCAAACCCCACAUCAGUGAUCUCUCUGUCGAGCUCUCCGCUCUCCUUCCCAAAUCCUAAAACCCCAACCUUUCCUCUCCUCUGCACCCUCCCUCGCCGCCGCCUCCCGAUCAGCGCGCCUCCUCUCCACCGCCCCGCCCGCCGCCGUCCAGCGCGGCGGUGGCCAUCUAGAAGGAGACCCCGGAGGAGGAGCGGCCGGAGACCUCCCCACAUGGCGGACUCGCUAUCGCCAUGUCCGUGGGCGGCGGUUCGAGCGGAUGAUCCGCGAGGCCCUUGACGAGGUGUGCGCGCGCGCUCAAGGCCGUGGACGGGGCGCCGCGUUCAAGGAGGAUGUGUGGUCGCGCCAUUUACAACAAUUUCAAACUCUUAUACGACCCCACUCCUACCCUCGAUNNNNNNNNNNNNNNNNNNNNNNNNNNNNNNNNNNNNNNNNNNNNNNNNNNNNNNNNNNNNNNNNNNNNNNNNNNNNNNNNNNNNNNNNNNNNNNNNNNNNNNNNNNNNNNNNNNNNNNNNNNNNNNNNNNNNNNNNNNNNNNNNNNNNNNNNNNNNNNNNNNNNNNNNNNNNNNNNNNNNNNNNNNNNNNNNNNNNNNNNNNNNNNNNNNNNNNNNNNNNNNNNNNNNNNNNNNNNNNNNNNNNNNNNNNNNNNNNNNNNNNNNNNNNNNNNNNNNNNNNNNNNNNNNNNNNNNNNNNNNNNNNNNNNNNNNNNNNNNNNNNNNNNNNNNNNNNNNNNNNNNNNNNNNNNNNNNNNNNNNNNNNNNNNNNNNNNNNNNNNNNNNNNNNNNNNNNNNNNNNNNNNNNNNNNNNNNNNNNNNNNNNNNNNNNNNNNNNNNNNNNNNNNNNNNNNNNNNNNNNNNNNNNNNNNNNNNNNNNNNNNNNNNNNNNNNNNNNNNNNNNNNNNNNNNNNNNNNNNNNNNNNNNNNNNNNNNNNNNNNNNNNNNNNNNNNNNNNNNNNNNNNNNNNNNNNNNNNNNNNNNNNNNNNNNNNNNNNNNNNNNNNNNNNNNNNNNNNNNNNNNNNNNNNNNNNNNNNNNNNNNNNNNNNNNNNNNNNNNNNNNNNNNNNNNNNNNNNNNNNNNNNNNNNNNNNNNNNNNNNNNNNNNNNNNNNNNNNNNNNNNNNNNNNNNNNNNNNNNNNNNNNNNNNNNNNNNNNNNNNNNNNNNNNNNNNNNNNNNNNNNNNNNNNNNNNNNNNNNNNNNNNNNNNNNNNNNNNNNNNAGAGAGAGAGAGAGAGAGAGAGAGAGAGAGAGAGAGAGCUAGGCUGGUAUACUAUUGGUAGCACGGAGGCCUCCGUGCUACCAAGUUGUUUUCGAUGAUGUGGCUUCCAAAUCGACGAUCGGCUCCGUUAGACUUGAUCUAUACUAUUAAAAAUAUUUGGAAACUAAAUUUCAUAAUUUUUUAACAUCAUUUGGCUAGUGAUCAAAAGGUCUCAAAAUUGACAAUUUUAAUGGUAGAUGUGAUGCGUUUGUGAAUUUAACGGUGUAAAACAAUCCAAAUCUGAUAAAAUUUUUAUAGAAAAUUCUUUUCACUAUUUAAAGUAAGAUCAAUACCUCUGAUCUUAAAUUCAAGUCUUUUAUCAUCAUUUUUUAUGAGAUUUUUAUUUUCAGUCGUUCAUUUUUAAACUACUUGUUUGAUAGGUAAAUGAUACCAAAAAAUUAAAAAAUUUAGUUUCCAAAUACUUUUUAUAGUGUGGAUCAAGUUUAAUGGAGCCGAUCGUCAAUUUGGAAGCCACAUCAUUGAAAACAAUUUGGUAGUACAGAGGCCUCCGUACUACUGAUAGUAUACCAGCCUAACUCUCUCUCUCUCUCUCUCUCUCUCUCUCUCUCUCUAUAGAUAUAUAUAUAUAUAUAUAUAUAUAUAUAUAUUAGAGAGAGAGAGAGAGAGAUAAGAGAGUAAGCGAGCUACUAGCUAUCUGGAACACGAGCCUUCCGUACGCUCCGGAGCCGUCAUUUUGCUUGCUCGCAUUUUUGAAUCAUCGAUCGGAGUCCUCGUAAACUUAAAAUCUAGAGUACCACUUUGAUACCUAGAAAUAAAAUUUAAGUGAAUUACGAACUAUUGCCUAGUUGAACAGGGCUCAAAAUCAACAGCUUGAAAAAAAAUCUUAUAAAACAAUGUAAUAAUAACAAUUAAAUUUUAAAUCAAAGGAUUAGAUCAUAUUUAUAUAGUAUAAAAGAAUUUCUAUCAUAAAAUGUCAUGGAUUAUGGAUAUUUCUAACACACGUUAAUACUUGAACGAUCAUACGGACAUGUGAAAUUUUGUUGAUUUUGAGGCCCAUUCGAUCACAUUAGGCAAAUGACUUCUGAGAAAAAUAAUAAAUUUAUUUCUAGGCUACUGCUCAAAUACUCUAGAUCAAGUAACGAAGUCCGAUCUACGAAUUUGAUAAGCGCAAACAGCUGAAAACGACUGAAGCACAAGAACUACCGUGCUUUCGAUAGCAAGUAAGUCCUUACUAUAAUUAUACUCAUAUAUAUAAUUAUAUAUAUAUAUAGUAUAUAUAUUAAAUAUUAUAUAUGUACGAUGAUAUAUGGAUAUAUAAAUAUAUAACAAUAUAUAUAUAUCACGAUAUAUAUUAUAAGAUUAGGCUGUAUCCACCAUUAAUCAGUGAAAUGCCUUUCGGCUAUCAAUUGUUAACCUGGAUGAAAAAAAUUGGGUCUAAUUAUAUUGGUUAGAGUUUGAGGGUCCCCCUAGUGGUUGAGUGGUCGCCACUGUGGGUUAUAGUAUUCAAUCCAAUGUGAGAGAAAAUGAAAAGAGUUGAUCCAAAGCCUAAAAAACUGGUAGCAACAAUGGUAUUUUGCUACAAAGUAGUAGCCCAGCCAACCUCUCCUCUUCUCCUUCUCUCGCUCGCUCGAUCAUCUCUCCUCUCCUCUCAUCUCAUCUUCUAUUAUUAUAUAUUAUUCUAAUAUAUUUUAUCAUAAAAUAUUAUGAGUUGAGCUGGAAUACUAUCGGUAGCAAACGAGCUCCGUUGCCACCCAUUUGUUUUCGAUGAUGGAGCCUCCAAAUCGACGAUCGGCACCAUUGAAAAUGAUCUAUACCACUUGAAGUAUCUAGAAAUCAAAUUUCAUACUUUUCCCAUAAUAUUUUGACUUCGUUUGCCAAGUCAACGAGUAGCCUAAAAAUAAACGGCUGAAAAUAAAAAUCCUCAUAAAAAACAGUGAUAAAAGACUCAAAUUUCAAAUCAUGAUCAAGAGUAUAGAUCUUGCUAUAAAUAGUUUAAGUAGAAUUUUCUAACAAAAAUUCAAGUAAUUUGGAUACCUUUACACCGUAAAACGAAAAAACCCACCACAUCAACCAUUAAAAUUACUCAAUUUUGAAACCCUGUGAUCACUAGGUAAAUGAUGUCGAAAAGAUUAUAAAAUUUAAUUUCUAAAUACUUCAAAUAACAUAGAUCAUACCCAACGGAGCCGAUCGUCGAAUUGAAAGCCCCAUCAUAGAAAACAAUUUACAAGUGGCAACGGAGGCCUCCGUUUACUACCGAAAGCAUGCCAGCUCAACUCUCACUCUCUCUCUCUCUCUCUCUCUCUCUCUCUCUCUCUCUCUCUCUCUAUAUAUAUAUAUAUUGUGGGCUGGUAUGCUUCUGGAAGCACGGAGCACUCCGUGCUUCCAAGUUGUUUUCGAUGUUCGGACUUUCGAAUCGACAAUUGGCUCCGUUAGAGUUGAUCUAGAGUACUUGGAGUACUUAGAAAAUAAAUUUUGUGAUUUUUCGAUAUCAUUUGCCUAGUGAUCGAAGGGGCUCAAAAUCAAUAAUUUUAAUGACCGUGGUGAGUCGUUUGCAAGUUUAAUGGUGUAAAAAUAUCCAAAUCAUAUGAAAUUUUGAUAGAAAAUUCUUUAUAUCAUAUAAAACAAGAUCAAUAACUUUGAUCUAAAAUUUUAAUGUCAUAUCAUCAUAUUUUGUAACAUUUUUAUUUUCAGCCGUUGAUUUUGAGCCACUUCGAUUACUAGGCAAAUGGUAUCGAAAAAUCGCAAAAUUUAUUUUCUAGAUACUUCAAAUACUCUAGAUCAAGUCUAACGGAGCCGAUCGUCGAUUCGAAAGUCCGAACAUCGAAAACAACUUGGAAGCACGAAGCACUCCGUGCUUUCAGAAGCAUACCAGACGCACUAUAUAUAUAUAGAGAGAGAGAAAGAAAAAGAGAGAGAGAGAGAGAGAGUACGUCUCCCAUGCUUUCGAAAGUACGGAGGCCUCCGUACUUGUAAAUUGUUUUCUAUGAUAGGACAUCCAAUUCGACAAUCGGCUCCGUUAGGUAUAAUCUAUGCUAUUGGAACUAUCUAGAAACCAAAUUUUAUAAUUUUUCGACAUCAUUUACCAAGCAAUCACAGGGUCUCAAAAAUGACUAUUUUAACGGCCGAUGUGGUACGUUUUUAAGUUCAACGGCGUAAAAGUAUCCAAAUUACAUGAAACUUUAAUAGAAAAUUCUACUUAACAUCUAUAGCAAGAACAAAACUUUCGAUUUGAAAUUUGAGUCAUUUAUCACUGUUUUUUAUGAGAUUUUUAUUUUCAGCCGUUUAUUUUGAGGCUACUCGUUCACUUGGCAAACGAAGUCAAAAAAUUAUGAAAUUUGGUUUCUAGAUAGUUUCAAUAGGGUAGAUCAUAUUUAACGGAACCGAUCGCCGAAUCGGACGUCCCAUCAUUGAAAAUAACUUACAAGUAAGGAGGCCUUCGUAUUUUCGAAAGCAUAGGAGCCUAGCUCUCUCUCUCUCUCGCUAUAUAUAUAUAGAGUAGGGCUACUAUACUAUUAUGAGUAUUGGGCCCUUCGUACUCAUAAAUUAUUUUUGAUGAUGGAGUUUCCGAAUUGAUGAUCCACUCCGUUAAAUAUGAUUUAGAGUAUUUGAAACUUCUAAAAAAUAAAUUUCGUAAUUUUUCAAAAUCAUAAUAAAAUCCAUCAAGUGGGCAUAAAAUGAACGGUCAAAAUCGAACGUUGUCUUAAAAAUGGAUAAUCAGAUCCUUCAAUUUAAGAUCAGAGUUAUUGAUCUUUAUCUAGGUAGUGAAUAGAAUUUUCUAUCAAAAAUUCAACCUAUUCGAAUUCUUUUGCACCAUUAAACUAGCAAGUAUUCCAUACCGACCGUUAAAAAUUGUCAAUUUUGUGAACUUUUGAUCGUAAGGUAAAUGAUUGUCGAAAAAUUAUGAAAUUUGAUUUCUAGAUAUUUUAAAUGCUCCAGAUAACGUUUAACGGUGUGGAUCGUUGAUUCGGAAACUCUAUCAUCGAAAAUAAUUUAUGAGUACGAGGGUGAUCAUACUCAUAAUAGAAUAGUAGCCGGACUCUAUAUAUAUAUAUAUAUAUAUAUAUAUAUAUAGAGAGAGAGAGAGAGAGAGAG
Molecule: long non-coding RNA, 55320 nt
Filed under: Ananas comosus (pineapple)
Lineage: Eukaryota; Viridiplantae; Streptophyta; Magnoliopsida; Poales; Bromeliaceae
Description: long non-coding RNA (ACOM_LNC022644)
Source: RNAcentral